CAAUAACAAAGUGCUAUUUUUUUUUAUCACAAAGGAACGUCCAGUCGAAGUCAGUGAUUGGAGGAAGAAUGUGGAAGCAAUGUCUGGCAUGGAGGGCAGGAAGAAGAUGUUUGAUGCCGCUAAAUCCCCGACAGGACAAUAAAAAGGUAAGUACCUAACAUAAAUUGACCACAUAGUGUCACUCCUGCACAAGGUUACAAUCUGUCCAGUACAAUGUAUGCAUUUCAGUUGGUACUGAAUUUGGCAUCUUAUGAAUUGUAAUAAUAAAAACUCAUUUUAGUACACAUUGUAUUGUCCACCCCUCAAAAAUUAAGGCUAAUUCCCCCAACAAUGACUAGGGGUCCCCAAACCCUUAGCCAACCCACACAAUGAAAACAAAUCAUACCCACCCCGUCACUAUGAUAACAGUGAGGAGGGCCAAAUAAAUUCACAAAAAGGACACAUAUGAAUAAUAUAAAAGAGUAAAAGGUAAGUUUUUUAGUGCAUACACUUGGGUGAUGGAAGCAUCUAAACAACCCAAUCGGGAGUCUCUCUAUCCAGGUCCAGAAAAGGUGUGCUCAAUCAAAGAAGGGAGCAGCAACUUAGGAGAUUCUCAAAUGAUAAUAAAUAUGUAAAAGAGAUGGAGUGCCAAAAAUAGUGUAGUGUUUUUGGUAUAAAUGGGUCAGAAAUGGCGGAGCCUGGCCACUGAACAAGCAAGACGUGUGCUACAUGGGCUCCCGCGAGCGACACCCUACAAAAGACAGAACACCCAAGCCAAUACCUUGCCUGACCGCAGAGCACAACCAAGCCUAUUCCUGGCACACCGGUGAUGCUGGAGAUACCUCACAGGGGCUUUUCCGCCACUGAAAACUCUACCUCGUGGCUCUGCGGCCUACCAGCUAUCGGGCAGGGGAAAGGCGGCUGCUCUCCUACUGCUUUGCCUGGCAGUAAGACACUCAAACAAGGUAUCCCCCCACUAUGGACCAGCGGGGAUCAUCCCGGUCCCCACUGGCUAGCAAAGUGAACUCACGCUGACCCGAAAGACUGACUCCUGCCAUGUGGAGACUCCGGCUAAGGCACCCAAGAUGGUGGACAAGUUCCCUGAGCCGGGGCAAGUGCUGCAUGGGCAGAAGCUGAUACAGCCAAACUCCACUGACGACAUGCUGCAAUACAUAGACAGGACAUUUGAGAGAUUCUGGAAGCUAAAACGCUGCCUUCACAGCCCAAGCCGCAUCGAAGACUACGCAAUGGCGGAGACCUCGGAAACCCCGACCUCCUUGUGGGGAAAUUAUACCAGAACAAGCCUGACACUAACCCGCAGGAGCGAAGGGCCACGACGGCUGCUGCCGCGCAGCCCAGGCUACGGUGACUGCAACUAGGAACCUGCAUCAAGCGCAAGGCAACCCGAGCCCCUCGCAGCACUUGGACGAAGAUGGCACCGACCUCACCUGCGGCUCAAACCCACAGAACCCAGCGACAGACCCCCAAGCAGGCCGCAAAGAGCACAGAAGGUGCCCUGAUACACCUACCAUGUGCCACAAGACACAGAGACUCUCCUGCGCUACAGAGCAGAGGCAGGGAAUGCAGCUGCUGUACCCCACCGCAGCCCAGUGGGCACGUCACAGAUCCAGACUAUGUACAGCCACAGAUGGGCAUUGGUUAGCUACAAAUGCAGAAUCUGACUCGGCCAUAGGCCUCCCUACACGCUAGGCCAUACACAGCAGCACUAAGAUUAGCUAGUCUAAUUUGAUAUUUACAACACCUGGCUGAGCAGGCACCCAGGGCAAUUAUCAUGCUCCAUUGCUUUAUCUUGCUUUAUUUUGUCUUAUUUUGAAACCCACAUGGCAUAGAGCUACAGUUAGUAAUGUUGGGAGUCCCAUAUUCUCACUCUCAUACGCAUAUAAUUGAUGACGAGGACCAGUGGCAUUAAACCUCCAAUGUUAAUCCUAGCAUGUUAUACUAUGUUUGUCUUAAUUUUACUUAGCACCUACCUAACAUAUACCAUGCUCCAAGCAAUACCUUAUUUUUCUUUAAACUUGUACCCACUCAGAUCCAAAGUUAAGCUUGUUUUAUUAUGCCUAUUAAAAAGUGCAUUUUACUCAUUUGCCAUGACACAAUAUCUUGACGUAUGUUCCUAUUAUGCUUAUCGCUGCCGUCAUGACAUCUCAAGCCUGUAUGUCAAAUCACAAUAAAAAUAAAGAAUUUAACAUAAAUGGGUCAGCAAUAAAAAAGAAAUGCACUAAGAGUCUAUACGAACUAGGAGUAGCUUUAUUUUACAUGCCUGGGUGACACAAUCUCAGCAGGGUUAUUUUUAUUAUAGAUUGGACCCUAGGCAAGCAUUUGCUGGGCCUCCCAGGACUUACUAAAUUAAGGCUACUUCACCCAACAAUGACUAGCAUGCAUUCGUGCCCUCCACCAAAACACACAAAAAACAAACUCACACACAUAGAUUGUAGACUUAUAUUAGUGCUCCUCAACCUUUCCCACCCAAGGCACACAAAAGGAUGUUCCCAGAAUUCUGUGGCACACCACAAGCAAAGAUAUAUGACCACAUAGUCACCAUGCACCAGCACACUUUCCAAAAAGGCCACACUGCCCCCAAAUCACUUGCCACAGUGUCACACUGCCCACACAGCAGUUAUAUGUGUCAAAUUAACUCAUGUCAAUUUCCACAUUGCUCCACAGCACUUGGCACAAUGUCAAUUUAAUAACACACAAAACUUGCCUGUUGAUAGUGUCACUUUGCCCUGCAAAACAUGCCACAGUCAGUUUUCUGAUUAAAAAUAUACCACAGUCAAUUUGCACAUUAAACAUAUGCCAAGCCAGGUGCCCAUGAAAAAAUAUCAUGGUCAGUGUGCCUACUUAAAAAUAUCCCAGCAAUUGUUCCCAAAUAAUAUAUACCACAGUAAUUUUGCCCAAUAAUAAAUACAUCAGUUAGUCUGCCCAUUAAUAAAUAUCACGUUGACACACAGAGACACACACAUUGACAAAUACAGACAUGCAGUCACAAUGUGUUUUGGGCUGUUUAGAAUUCUGUGUAUGUGCCUGACUGUGAAUAUCCUUGUGUUUGAAUGUACAUCUCUGUGACCAUGUGUAUGUUUGAGUCUGGGACCGUAUGUGUCUGGGCUAACUGCUAGCAGUGUGUUGUGUGUAUGGGGAGCUGCCUGUGGCCUUUGUGCAUUGUGUUUAUGGUGAAGCUAUGUUUCAUGACUGUGUGUGUAUGAUGAUGCUCUUCAGAGGGUGACUGCAACAUAACCAUGGUAAGCUAGUGCUACAGGGCCAGAGGGGUGAAAGAAACAGGGUUGGGCUAUGAGUGUGAAAGUGAGUGUGACCGGGUUUGGGGAUGAAUGUGACAUGGAUGGAGUGUCAGAGUGUCGAGAGGAGGUAAGUGUGACAGGAUUAGGGGGUUCAUGUUACAGGGUGGUGUUGCAUGGUUGGGGGUGAAUGCAUCAUGGUUGGAGGGGGGAGUGUGACAGGGCAUGGGGAGGUGAGCAUGACAAGAUUAGCGGAGGUUUAUGUGACAGGGUGAGUGUGGCAUGGUUGAGGGGAUGAAUAUGACAGAAUUGGAGGAGUCAAUGCAAGAGAGUGAGUGUGGCAGGGUGAAAGGGGUGAGUGUGACAGAGUGAUGGAGGAUGAGUGUAACAGUGUGAGAAAGGUGAGUGUGACAGGAUUGUGGGUGAGUGAGGCAGAGUGAAGUUGGGCGCGUAUGGCAUUGUGAGUGUGACAGGUUUGGGACUGUUAAUGUGAUUGUGGCAUUGUGAAGAGGAGGGACUGUAUGUGAGGAAGGUUGAUAUUGUAGGGGGUUACAGUAUGUGUGUGGGGGUGGCAGAUACACAGACACACAUGUGCAUACACUGACAACACACAUGCAGAUACACACUGACACACAGACUCAAAAACACAGUCACUGACAAACAUACAGAUAAACAUUCAAACACACUGCCAUACAUGCAGGUUAACACAAUAUUACACAUACAUGGACACACAUACUGAUACGCAGACACAUACUAACACAUACAGAUGCACAGAUACACACUGACACACAUACUGAUACACAGACACACACUGACACAUACAGAUGCACAGAUACACAUGCAAUUACACAGGCACAGAAACCAAGAUUAUUAUUUUUUCCUUUAUGAUUAGAAACCGUCACUGCCAUAACACCCAUUCUUAUUUCUGGUUACCAGUUUUUCCACCCCGCCUUUAACUUUGUGCAAGAUGACAUGCCAUAUCAGAUUUAUUUAACCAAUCAUUGUUAACAGGAGUAGUCCCAGAAGAUUGGAAGUUAGCGAAUGUUGUGCCCAUUCACAAGAAAGGUAAUAGGGAGGAGUCGGGCAACUAUAGGCCAGUAAGCCUUACUUCAGUAGUGGGGAAAGUGAUGGAAACCAUGUUAAAGGAUAGGAUUGUUGAACAUCUAAAAACACAUGGAUUUCAAGAUCAGAGACAACAUGGGUUUACUUCAGGGAGAUCAUGCCAAACUAAUCUUAUUGAUUUUUUUGAUUGGGUAACUAAAAUUAUAGAUCAGGGUGGUGCAGUAGACAUUGCUUACCUAGAUUUCAGUAAGGCUUUUGACACUGUUGCACAUAGAAGGCUUAUCAAUAAACUGCAAUCUUUAAGUUUGGAUUCCAAUAUUGUUGAAUGGGUAAGGCAGUGGCUGAGUGACAGGCAACAGAGGGCUGUAGUCAAUGGAAUAUAUUCGAAGCUUGGACUUGUCACCAAUAGGGUACUUCAGGGAUCUGUACUUGGACCCAUUCUUUUUAAUAUUUUUAUUAGUGGUAUUGCAGAAGGUCUUGAUGGUAAGGUAUGUCUUUUUGCUGAUGAUUCUAAGAUAUGUAACAGGGUUGAUGUUCCAGGAGGGAAAAGCCAAAUGGCAAAUGAUUUAGGUAAACUAGAAAAAUGGUCAGAAUUGUGGAAACUGACAUUUAAUGUGGAUAAGUGCAAGAUAAUGCAUCUUGGACGUAAAAACCCAAGGGCAGAGUACAGAAUAUUUGAUAGAGUCCUAACCUCAACAUCUGAGGAAAGGGAUUUAGGGGUGAUUAUUUCUGAUGACUUAAAGGUAGGCAGACAAUGUAAUAGAGCAGCAGGAAAUGCUAGCAGAAUGCUUGGUUGUAUAGGAGAGGUAUUAGCAGUAGAAAGAGGGAAGUGAUCAUGCCAUUGUACAGAACACUGGUGAGACCUCACUUGGAGUAUUGUACACAGUACUGGAGACCGUAUCUUCAGAAGGAUAUUGAUACCUUAGAGAGGGUUCAGAGAAGGGCUACUAAACUGGUUCAUGGAUUGCGGGAUAAAACUUACCAGGAAAGGUUAAAGGAUCUUAACAUGUAUAGCUUGGAGGAAAGACGAGACAGGGGGGAUAUGAUAGAAACAUUUAAAUAUAUAAAGGGAAUCAACACAGUAAAGGAGGAGACUAUAUUUAAAAGAAGAAAAACUACCACAACAAGAGGACAUAGUCUUAAAUUAGAGGGACAAAGGUUUAAAAAUAAUAUCAGGAAGUAUUACUUUACUGAGAGGGUAGUGGAUGCAUUGAAUAGCCUUCCAGCUGAAGUGGUAGAGGUUAACACAGUAAAGGAGUUUAAGCAUUCGUGGGAUAGGCAUAAGGCUAUCCUAACUAUAAGAUAAGGCCAGGGACUAAUGAAAGUAUUUAGAAAAUUGGGCAGACUAAAUGGGCCGAAUGGUUCUUAUCUGCCGUCACAUUCUAUGUUUCUAUGUUUCUAUAUGUUAACAUCACUAUACUUAUGUAUUUGUUUGUUUUUUUCUACACAAUCUUUAGGGUUAUUUUUAGUGUUAAACCAUUAUUUGUAUCAAAUUAUUUUUAAAUAUUUUAUCUUAAUGUGUUUUUAAAUCGAUUUUAUUUUUUUACCCAAUGUCAAUGUAAAUACUCUUAUUAAUAAUAUAGUUAUAGAACACAUAUCCUGUUAUUUGCUGCAACCUAGAGCAAAACAAUACAAAUAGAUGCAUUUUUUCUGCUAAACUCCUCCUUUUCCCCCAUAUAUUGCCCUUCUCAAACAUGGCCAAAAAGACACUUCCGGGAUUCAAAACACACAAGAGACGCCCAUCCCGGAACAACACUAGUCUAUUCAGAUGAUAAAAUUAUACUAAGUGUCAAAAUAGACACAAAACUGCCUAAUUCAACUUACCUUUAUUCCCCUUGCAAGAAGGGAUACUUAUUACAUUAAUUGGAAUGCAAUGGUGCCAUUUUGGUUCCAUAUGCGUUCCAAGCUGGAAACACCAUACUGGUAGAACACCGCAUCACUUCUGGUAUGAUACAUGUGUUCCAGAAUGGUUACAGGAAAUCAACAAUCAACUGUCACGUAUUCAUCUGCUUAUAAAAAAGUGGUUAAUGGCAUUUACUGUCCACACAAGAAAAGUUGUGCCGAGCAGCAACCGAAUCCACAAAAGGGUUAAUGCUGAGCAGCAAUUAUGCAAAUGGGAACCUGGUAACUGUCUUUGGGGUCAAAGGCUGGUUACAGCCUAUCAGAUCUAGAGGAGGGGUAUUUAGGCCCAGUUCUCAUCCUGCUCAGUGCCCUGUCAUGGUUUCCCUUAUGGUUGUCCGAGAGCACGUUAUUGAUUCUGGAUAUUCUGGUUAUUUGACUUUGGCAUUGUUUUUGACUUCCCUGUUUUCUGGCAUCCCUGACUUCUGGCUUUUCCUUAUUGUUGUGUCUCUUUCUGUAUCCCUUGACCUCGGCUAUUCCUGACUAUUCUUUGGUACGUUAGACCGGCCAUUCUAAAGUCCGGUAUACGUUACCUCUCAGUCCUCUGUGUUACACAAUUCUACAUGCUGGAUCAUUCUGUAAUCCUGACAUCAACAAACCAGAAAGCAAUCUCCCUUUAUAGACUGCCUCUUUAAACAGAAUUUUAUGAGAACUUAACCACAGUUCUGAAGAAGCCUUUGAGAGGCGAAACGCGUAAAGUGGGACUCCUUAAAGCUAUUUUAUAUUGCUAUUAUUGUUUUUGUAUGGUUAAUAAAUAGUAUAUAUAUAGUAUAUAUAUGUGUGUAUAUAUAUAUAUAUAUAUAUAUAUAUAUAUAUACAUACACACAUACAUACAUGCAUACACAUGUACUGCAUUAUUAUUACUUUUUUUUUAUCUUUGAGGCCAAAUGUGUGUAAAUUUCUGUACAUAUAUUUUUGGGCAUGGUUUCUCCUUCCUUUUCCAUGUUGUGUAAAGAAAGUAUUUACAUAGCAGCAGUUCAAGAGACACAUUGGAAAUCGGCAGAUGACGCUCACUUUAACUCUGGUUAUUAUCCAGAGAGGAUACUUUCAUCAAUGGAACAUAAGUAGAGAGGGGUAGUGAUCUUUUUUUCAAAAGAGAUUAAAUAUGAGUUUAUAUCCAAGUCAUGUGACAAAGUGGGGAGAUGUGUUUUUGUGGUUUGUAGACUUAUUGACAACAUGUUUUCAAUCUUGAAUCUUUAUGACCCUAAUAGGAAACAAGUGCAUUUUGUAAACCAGGUGCUGGAUAAAAUCCAGAAUUUGAUUUGGGGUACAUUUAUAGCUUUGGGAGACUUUAACUAUGUUGUGGAUCUGGAUUUUGAUAGGUGUGGACCUAUAUCUAAACCAUGUAGUUAAAGUUCUGGCUUGAGAUUUUUCAAUCUAUGUUAGGGAAAAUUAAAACUCUACGAUACUUGGCGUACUCUUAGGCCAGAAGAUAGACUACACUUUUUUUUAAAUCAUCAUUCUUCAUAUUCAAGAUUUGAUUAGGUAUUGACAGAUCCAUACUCUAUUACACAGUGUAAAGACAUUCAAAUAAUUCCAAUUGCAUGGUUUGAUCAUCAUGCAGUUAUUUUAGUUAUGCAAGAUAAUUAUAACAGAAAUAUUAGCAUUUUUAAAAUUAAUGAUACCCUUUUAUUAAAAACAAAAAUGUAGAUAGUUUGUCAAAAUUAGGUGAUGUUUUUUUUUAAAGACAAUCUAACAGGGGAUGUAAGCUUACCAACUGCUUGGUGUGUGGUUUUAAAAGCGUGAUGCGGGGUUACCUAAUUAACCACUUAAGGACACAUGACAUGAUUCCCUUUUAUUCCAAAAGUUUGGUACUUAAGGGGUUAAGAUGGAUUCUCAGUUGGAAAAAAAAAAAGGGGGGGAGGGAAAACAUAGCAAGCCUUUAUGCAAAGCUGGCUGAUUUGACAAGUCUAAAUAAAAUAGCCUUAGAUGAAACUAAAUCUAAGGAAAUCUCUUUAAUAAUGAAGACCAUAAGAGAACAACUAAAUAUGAAAUCAGAUAGGAUAAUGGUUAAGAUGAAACAAAAGAGGUAUUACUUAUGCAACCUAUGUCAAACCAGAUUAAAAGGGAAAAUCAGAGAAACAGAAUUUUUAAGAUUAUAAACUGGUUGGAAAUCUGCAUAAGUCCAGCGGCUAUUGGAAAUGCAUUUAAGAGGUUUUAUACAACACUAAAAGAGCAGAAACUCCAGAUAUAGUGAAAUAUUUAAGAAAAGUAAAUCUAACCCGGAUCUCACAAGACCAAAAAGAGAUGCUAGAUUCCCAGAUGAAAAAAAGAUAGGGUCCGGACCAAGAAGGCCCCUGGACCGGAUGUAUACUCAAACUUGUUUUAUAAGAAACAAAAGUUCAUGUUAAUUCCCCACUUGACAAAUACAUUUAAUAUAAUUAAGGAAAGUAGGAAUUUUCCAGCCGAAAUGUUGAAAGCCGCAAUAGUCCCUAUUCCCAAACAGGAUAAGGACAAAACAAGGGUCCCUAAUUACCGGCCAAUUUCUCUAAUAAACAUUAAUACCAAAAUUAAAUCGUAUCUAAUGGCAGAAAGAAUGAAAGUCAUUAUUCCUUUUAUUAUUCAUCGCAAUCAGACAGGGUUUAUUAAAGAAGACAGGCGAGCGGGAAUACCCAUAAAGUUUUAGAUCUCAUUCGUUAUAUAACAACACACAAAAUUCCAUCAAUUAUUCUGGCCCUGGAUGCAGAAAAAGCCUUUGACCGAGUUGACUGGCGCUUCCUUGAGGAGAUUCUUAAAGCUUUGAAACUUCGGGAGUGGGUUAGUCGACUCGGUCAUGGCUUUAUAUACUAUUCCAACUGCUAAAAUAGUGGGUCAGGGUUUUAAUUCUGAUUGGUUCCAGAUUCGUCAUGGAACACGACGGGGUGCACGUUGGUACCAAUGCUUUAUAUUUUAUCUUUGGAAACCAUGGCAGCAAGAAUCAGGGCUUUGCAAAACAUCGAGGGAAUUAAAGUAGGCGAACGUAUAUGCAAAUUAAAUCUGUUUGCAGAUGACGUGUUACUGACUUUGACAAAUCCUGUAGCAUCUAUGGAAGCAAUUUUGAGGGAAGUGGAUGUUGAAUUCUAAAAUUAAUAUACAUAAGAACCAGGCAAUGCCGAUUGGAUUGGACUAUGCAACAAUGCACGAACUAACAAAUAUUUAUUUGUUAAAUUACACUCCCCUGUUUAAAGAUCUUAUAAAGCAGUCUAGUGAAUGGAAUAACACAAAUGUUGUCUUUUUUGGGCAAAAUUAACCUGGUUAAAGCCUAUAUUUUACCUAGAUGGAUUUAUUCCCUUAGAAUGAUUUCUAUUCCAGUACCCGAACACUUGGCUCCAACCAACUAAGGGCCUUUACAAAUGUGGGCAUUGCAAAGCAUGAGACUUCAUCACCCCCACUAAAACGGUAGGCAGUAACUAGACUCAUGUGGAGGUUACCAUCAACACAUUUGUAAAUUGCAGUUCUACAGAUGUUGUUUAUUUAAUCACAUAUAGGAGUGGCCUUCAAUACAUAGGCAAAACGUACCAGCAAUUUCGACAAACGAUUUUGCAAUAUGUAACUCAACCAAAAAUCCCAACACUGAUACUCUGGUGGCCAGACAUGUAAGGCUCAACCAUGAUAAUAACCCUAGAGUUUUGAAGUUCCAAGUUAUACAAAAGCUACAACAAAAUCAUUGGAAAGGCAAUAUAAACCUCCUAUUAUUAAAGACUGAACCACGUUGGAUCUACUCGUUCCAAACUUUUUUUCCCAAAAGGAAUGAACGAGGAGUUUAAUUUCACCCCGUUCAUCCACUCUUGAUUAUAUACAAUUCCCUACGGAAAGUUCUCCAUUUAUUUCCUGGAGAUCUGUGUCCUUUCCCACUUGAGUUUAGCAUGAUUCCUUAUUUGUCUAGUUUCCAUUAGGGUUGCUCUUACACUAUAACCACUUUGUGAUUACCAACCUCCCCACUAGAUGGUUGAACCAUAUCAGAACAUCCUGGAAUUUAUUUCCAGAUCUUUAUUAGCUUCAACAAUAUUUUAUAAUAGAUUUACCUACCCAUGAUUAGUAUACAGCUAUUUCUUAUUAAUUUGGUGCUCUAUAAUAAUUUGGGGAUUGAGAAGAAAGCUUACAAUAAGUUACAUAGCUUUACAAAUACUCUAAUGCUAAACAGAUGUUGCUUUAAACAAUAUUUUAUAAUAGGUACAUCUCCUCAUAAUUAGUAUACAGUCUUGACCUAUUAAUAUUGUGUUCUAUAAUCAUUUUAGAAUUGAAAAAUAAACAUUACUUUGUAGGUAUUUGUCUUUUGAUGUCUCACUGACAUUAACAUAAGUGGAGUUAUUUUUAUUGUGUUUUAGGAACUAACAAUACACUUGUUAUAAUAAUAUGCCUUAAAAUGGCAUUAUAGAUUUCUGACAAAGGAAACAAUUCCUGAACACAUAUAGGGUUAAUGCAUAACCUCGGUUUCUAAUAUCUCCCCUCUGGCAGUCCAUCAAAAGUUAUUUGGACGCUUCUAUUUGACUAAGCAACGAUAUCUGGCUAAGUCACACCAAGCAUACCAGUUUGGAGAACGAAAAAUUAGCGGGUAAUCGAGGAUUUAAAAGAGAGAAUACAGAAGAUAUUUUGAAGCUGACUGAGGAGGCUGUUUUUAAUCGGUGAAACGCGUUUUGGCUAAAAGUGGACCUAUAUUUAGACCACUUAAUACAAUUGUAUUGUUCUUAUAUGUUUUUGCAGUUUUUUAUUUUCUAGUAAACAGUUUAUAUAUACUUUUUAAAUAUUACUUUUCUCUGUAAAGAAUAAAUAUAGUUUUUAUAUUCAUCAAUCCAACUGUAUCCUGCACAAGUGAUUCCAGAGAGCGGCAGUGUCACCCCAUAAAUUGACACCCCAUAAAUACACUUAGAGCCAGUUAUCAAAAGGCUCUAAAUAAGGUGAGCACUUUGUAUUUUAUUCAUAUCGAUAAAAUCAGUAUCUAAGAUACUACACUUAGAUUUUAAUAUCUGUUUUUUUUCCUAUGAUGUGGAGAGGAACAUACGCACUUUUGCAUUGAGAGAGGGGUCGUGUGAUCUACCCAAAAAGACACAGAUGUCUGGAAGUUUAGAGCCUUACAACUGUAAAGGCUGUAAAAAAUUUGAGUUUAUUUAAACUUAUAACUCACAUAAUUCUUGGGACAUUUUUUCGAUAUACUACACUAUUAUUUGCAUUUCUUUUCUAUUUUCUUUAUAUGUACACGAAAAUACAAAGUGUGAUAUAGAGGGUAAGUGCCUUUAAGCACUCUAUACAAGAAUUCACUCAUUUUCAUAUCUAGAUAUAGCGCUGCACUCCUGAAAACUGAAGAUUCUAAGGUUUUUCUGUUGGUUCUAGUGAACUUUUUUAAACAACGCUUUUAUUAAACUAAAACAUGGGUUAUGAUCAAAAAGUGAUUGAUAUUAUGUGGAGAUUAUCGGAUUACACGGUAUACAAAGUAUAUUCAGGAUGCCAUGCAUCUUUUGUGUGGGGUAACUACCCCUGGCUAAGUAACAUGACUUCACUUUUGGAACAAUAAAACAUACACCAAAAGAAGAGACGAACUGAUCAUUUAUCCUGCCUAAGGAAUCAGUGAUAUAUAUGUAUUCGUAUCUAUACAUCUGUAGGGGUAAUUGUGACAGACCCGCUGUCCCUGAUUUUUAAACUUUGUUCAUUUAAAUUGUUCGUCUGAAAUAACUGUACUUUUAAUGUGCUAAUGGCCAUUUGUUUCACGAAUUUCCUACCGAACGUACGACCACCAAGACCAGGAGUGUGGCACCCAUUAACCUAAUUGACACCUCCAAAACCAUGAACACCCCAACGUUCUAAUUGAUCAACAGGGUGGUCGACAUUCGCCUGAGUGUUCGUUUGUACGAACACGUGACGCCGGCCAUCUUGGAAUAUGAAUCCGGUCAGCGGGAAUGUGUCGUUGAGUGUCUGGAACUAAAAUCGGACACAACACUUCUGAGACUUCCACCUAACUUUCAAACUCCUGAACCGAUUUGGGUGAAUUUUCAAUAUGUUGUUCCCCCAGAUCAGGGGAUGUAUAAUUUAGGUGUUUCAGGGGAUGUAUCAGGGGAUGUAUCAUGUAUAAUUUAUGUGGUUCCCAUAUGUUUUCGGGGUGUUUGAGAAAUUGGGUAAAAACUGUAUUUUUCGUUUGGAGAUAAUUGAGUUAAUACAGUAAUUAACUCAAUUAUCUCUCAAGCAGAGGCGAGGUCUUAGGUACAGUAACUGGGAGUGUUCAAAUGAAAACCUCUGUUUUGUUUGAAUUGUAAAUUUCAUGUCUGGUGUAAUACUGUAUAAAUACUGUAUAAAAGAAACCAAUCUGCCAUUAAACCUUCAGUUCUUACUUUACCCUUAAUCUAGAGUCUUGUCUCUUAUUGGAGGAAACUGCUAUACAGCUAUAACACUAGCUCUUCUAAGAGCUUCUCAACUUGGAUGACUGCUGAAUGCUGAGAAUACCGCUCACCAUCGGGAGAAGUACACUCUCUAGCGGUGGAAACCCCUCUACUCAUCGGGGUAACCGCUACAGUAAUGUCCCUGUAUCUUUCUAUCUGGUCUGUCAGUCGUGUGGCCACCUGUCCAUCUGCAUUCAGAAAAUGGAUCCAAGGACCCCAUGUGGUGACGUGUAGUGCAUAUUUGUGUGUCAAGGCAUAAUGGAUGUCUUCCAUUAAGCGGAUGGACUCGACUUUGUGAAUCCAUUCCCUAACUGUAGGGGCUCUUGGUUGUUUCCAGAGCAUUGGGAUAAGCGAGUUUGCCGCUGUCAACAAGUGUGUGAUCAACUAUUUUGUAGGUUUGGGGAUUGGUUUGGAGAAAUGGAAGAAGAGUACCAUUUUAGGCUUGGUGGGCAGGUUGAUAUUUGUUACCAAAUGGAUCAUUCGGAGUAUUUUAGACCAGUAUUCCGUGAUGAUCAGACAGUUCCACCAGAUAUGACCCGGCGUGCCCUUAGGGAGCUUGCAUUUCCAACAAGAUUCUGGGGCGUUAGGAAAAAUCUUAUGCAAUUUAGAUGGCGAUAGGUGCCACCUGGACAAACGUUUGAAAUUACCUUCUUGAGUGUGUGUAUUAUCACAGUCAAUAUGCGUCAGUUGAAGGUUCAGUUCAUAUUCCCAAGAACUUGUGUAUUUGGGUAGGGAGUGCGAGUUUUCGUAUAUAACAUUAGUUUAUACAUGGUAGAGAAGUGUUUUGUUUUUAUGUCACCGUUUGUUUUUAUGUUUUUUAUGUUUUUAUGUUUUUAAAACAUGGUUAGUUGUCUCCGUCCUCCGAGUAAAUCGGGAGUGGAGGAAAGAAAAUGUGCAACCUGGGAAUGUUGGUAUCGUUGUAGUGCCGUCUGAGACAUUCCAGCUUCCUUAGUGUUUGCGUGAUUAAUACCUUGAUUUUUUUUUAAGCACUGUGCAUACUGCUAGGUAGUGUGUGGCUUGGUAAGAUGUGAAUGAAGAUCGGCGGGUGCCUGGUGGGAAGUGUGGGUUGUGCGUGAUUGGAUACAGAGGGGACGGGUGUGGAGCUAUACUCUGUGAGUGUCUAAUCUUCGUCCAUAUUUUAAGUGUUAUAUAGUGGUAUAAUUAUGGGUUGGUGGGAAUGAAAGCUGCUUUCUCCAGUGUUGCCCAUUGUUUGCAAUUUGCCCAUUCAUAUAUUCUGGAGAGCAUGACCGUUUUAUAGUACAUUUCUAUAUCUGGCAGGCUCAGGCCACCUUGGUGCUUAUGUAUGGUGAGUAAUUUGAAUGGUAGCAUUGGAUGGUUGUGUGACCAAACAAAACAGGUGAAUUUUUUUUGAUUUCUGCGAAAAGAGUGUUUGGUAAGGUUACAGGAAUAGUAUGUAGGAGGUAUAAGAUUUUGGGCAGUACGUUCAUCUUUAAAAUGUUUAUGCGACAUAACCAGCCAAAUUUGAGCUUGUGCUGCGUUAGGUCCUGCAAAAAGUGUGUGACGAAGAGGUUGGAAAUUUAGGUCAUAGAGUUGGGAGGGGCAUGUAGGUAAGUGAAUCCCUACGUAUUUGACUGCUGUGUGUGACCAUAUAAAAUAAUUCUGGAGGGUGUCCUUCGUGGAGGCUGUAAUUACCAGCCAGAGAAUUUCACUUUUUGUGAAAUUGACCUUAAAAUUAGAGAAAUUAUUGUAAAGGGAGAUUUCUUCCAGAAUCUGUGGCAUGGAGAUUUGUUGGUUGUGUGAGGGUGAAUAGAAGGUCAUCGGCAAAAGCUGCUGUUUUGUAUUCAAUUCCUUGCACUUUGAUGCCAUGGAUAACUGGGUUGUCUCUGAUUCCUUGAAGGAAAGGAUCAGGACAAACUGUAAUGGUGAGGGAGGGUUUCAGACAACUGGCCAUUAAUCCUAAUGCGCGCUCGUGGCCUAGAAUAAAUGGAAUGCAGCCAUUGUGACCAAUUCGGCCAAAGCCCAUGGCCUUGAGGGUCGUGAAUAUCAGGUACCAGUCCACCCUGUCAAACACCUUUUCAGCAUCUAUUGAUAAGAGCAGGCUCUGAGAUUGGAAUUGUUAUGCCAUAUGCAUUAAAUUCAAUAAUUUUGUGGUAUUGUUUUUGGCCUCGCAUCCGGGCACGAAGCCUGUCUGGUCAGGGUGGACUAGUCCCUGCAGGAGAGGGCAUAGUCUGGUGGCCAGGAUUUUUGUGAAGAGUUUGAGAUGCGUAUUAAUUUGUGAAAUUGGGCGAUAACUCCCACACAUAGUGGCAUCUUUUCCUUGUUGGGGGAUAAAGGUAACGUGUGCCUCUAGUACAGAGUCUGGGAGGUUUGGGGAGGUAGUGAGCGAAUUGAAUGCGGUAACAAACGGUGUGGCCAGGAGUUCGGAGAAUGUUUUGUAAUAUUUGGCUGUAAAGCCAUCUGGGCCAGGGCUUUUACCUAACGGGGAGUGUUUGACUGCUAGCAGGAAUUCUUCCAGCUGUAUUGGUGAAUCUAGAUGUUGUAAUAGACUUUUAGGUAUUGUCUGUUUGAUGCAAGGGGCUUAGUCUUGUUCCAAUUCUGGAAUCGUUGGCGAGGCCAUGCGAAUGUUGUAGAGCAUGGUGUAAAACUUCUGUAACUCCUGCAGUAUGUCUGUGAUUUUAUGAGAUAUGUUCCCUGACACUGUUUUUAUCUUGGAGAUAAAUGUAGUCUGUCUAGCACCUUUAAGCCAGGAGACGUCCACACUUGCCCCCUCUGGAAUAAUAGGAAUAUUUAGUGAAUAACAUUUGGCAUUUUAUUUGGGCAUUCAUGAAUUGUUGCAGUUUAGAUCUCUUUUUAGUCAGUUGUUUGUAUGUUUCUAGGGUAAUGUUCUGUUUAUGUGUGUUUUCUAGAGACCUUAUGUCAAUUAAAAGGGUGUUAGCCUGUUCUGAGCAUUUCUUUUUGGGUUUGGAAGCUAUAGCUAUGAGACAUCCCCUUAUCACACAUUUAUGGGCCUCCCACACUACAGAUGUGAUGUCGCGUGUGUGGUAUUUUUGUCGCAGUAUUGCUGAACUGCUAAACGUUUGGAUGCAGACGCGCAUGCAUCAUUUAAUAGCAAAUCAUUUAACUUCCAUUGGAAAGAAUGGGGUGGAAGGUGGGGUAUUUGUACGGCAAGAGACAGGGGUGCAUGGUCAGACCAUGUAAUCCAGUGGGCUGUGUGGUGCGCCAAAUGUCAAACAAUCAUGUGUCUUCUAAGAGUGAAACUAACCUCCUCCUGGUGGUGGCCUGGUAUCUGGGCGCAUUGGACGUUGUAUCCAUACCUGCGUCUAAAGAAAUGUUGAAGUCGCCUCACAUAAGGAGAAUGUCUUCAGUAAAUUGCUCUAUUAAACAAAGAUAUUUUUUAAUUGCUCUCCCUUGUCUCCUAUUGGAUAGAUAGACAUUGACUAGGGUUACUAUAUGUUGUCCAACUUGACCUUUGACCAUUAGUAUUCUCCCCGCAUCAGUAGAUUUAUGUGCCUUCUAGACAAAUGGGACUCUAACUGCUAAUAAUAUGGCCACUCCGCAGGCCUUUGAAUUUGAAAGGUUGCAGAAAUACCCUAUUGGGUAAUGUUUAUCCUGCAGAGUGGAAGGGGCAUCUGCUCUAAAGUGGGUUUCUUGGAGGAAUGCUAUGUCUGCCUUUAAAAAGUGUGGAGUUCUGAUAAUACCUGUGAUUAUUUUUCUGGGAGGUUCAGUCCCCUUGUAUUCAGGGAAACCACAUGAAGGGUGGCCAUGUCUACCCCAGGUAGAUUUUAGUGUAAACUGGUUCCAAUUGGCUGCAAAUAUAAUCUGAUUAUAAGAAAAGAAACAAGAACUUAACUAUGUACAAAUUAGUAAAGGGUGAUUAUAACACUUGGUAGAUGUGAAGCGUGAUAUGAGAGUAUAGCAAGCGUCAACUGGCAGUGACAGCUACUUUCCCUAGCAACUUUGGGAAGUGUUGCUGGGGGGGGGGCUAUAUAGUGGCUGCAAGUCUGGAAUCAAUGUCCAGCUCUGACGACACAGUUGACACUAGGUUUGGCGUGUUACAAGUGGGUGGGGUGGGGGGUGUAUGGUGAAUACCAUUAAUAGUUGAAUAUGUAAGUUGUGGAUAAUAGCGAUAUCUGUCUUGAGAGAGGGGUGGGGGGAUCCUCUCCAAUAUCAUACAUUGUUUUUAGGUGAGCUGAGGUAGGAGUAUAAAUUGCCAGAGCCCUGAAUGUUGAGGCCAUCUCACUGACCCAUAGGUGAUUAGAGGUAGGAAGGAGGGGGGGAGGGGAGUGUGCUGUCUAGGCUUGUGGACUUAAGACCUCAGAUCUACCUUCUGCAUAGAGACAUUUCAUAACAUUGUGAAUUUGUCUGCACGAGAUGCACGUAGUAAGAAACAUUGCUUGUAUAAAGCCUGUGCAUAAACAUAACCCCUGGAGGUUGUUCAUGUUUGCAUGUUUGGUGGGCAUAGGCUACUGCUGGGUAUGGUCGUACCCAAUGCUUUAUAUCAAGUACCCUAUCUUUAUAUCAAGUACCCUAUCAGUGGGUAACCUAGUUACUCAUAACCCACAUAACAGGCAAUAUUGAAUCUAUGCAUCAGCAACAUUCACAGCACUAUUAUCUUACGUGCUCCCAAGAUCAGUAGCCAGUUAAGGAAGUAGGUGCAGUGAUUGAGGCUGUUAAGGUAACAGUUCAGGCUAGCUGGCCCACUUGGGUCUCAAUUAGGAGGCCUUUAAACUCAGUUUGAAGUGGGCCAAGCCACAGAUUUGAAGGGGUAGUCCUGUUUUGGGAAAUGAAAGCCUUGAGUCUGUGACCAAAGAGUGCUUCUGUCCUUAUGGUUCAAGCACCGGAGAUCAGUCCAGAAUCCUGAUCGACUCCAGUAAUGGAGAUUAAACUUUGUUUGGGAAGAGGUAUGUUGUUAGAGCCACCAUGCAGGGAGAUGGGUUAGCACUCAACAAGGGUUCAGGGCUUUAUCGGUGUUUGGGUGCGCUUUUAGGCGAAUUCAGGCCCAGUGAGGUUUCAGAUUAUUCAGAUUUGGGCCCUCCUCUUCUUGGCAGGGGUCUGCCAUCUAUGCCGUUGUUGAAGUGGCAAGGGAGGUACAGGUUGGCUAGUGCCGUACCAGUCUGGGACUUGAACAUCCGGCAACUCAAUGGCUUGUGUGAAUGCACGGAUGUCCUGGAUCGAGGCUAGGGAGUGUGUUCUGCCAUUGUGAGUGCGCUUUGCCUGCAAGGUUUGCCAGGAUAAAUCUGGGAAUAUUUUCGUUUCAAUGCUCUGUGUGCUAUAUCUAGCAUUAGUGGAGUGUCAGCUGGUCUGCCCAGAAUGCGAUUAAACAAGUAUAGACGUCAGGUCUUCCUAAUGCUGCUCAGGUAGCCCUUUUAUCCUCAGAUUGUUUUGGCGUCCCUGGUUGUCGAAGUCAUCUAGGUGUCUGUACAUAGCCGAUAUGUGUGAAGUGUGCGCGGUCACAGUUUCCUGUAAGUGUUUAUCAGGAUUACUGUAUGAUCCAGCACGUAGAACUGUAUAGCCUAGAUGACAAAUAAGUAACGUAUUACCGGUCCUUAGAAUGGCCGGAUUUAAUGUACAUAGAAUAGUCAAAAUACUAGCUGAGAUCAGGGAACACAGAAAGGGAUGCAAUGAUGAGGAAAGCCAGGAGUCAGGAUACCAGAAUACAGAGAAGUCAAUAAGGAAAGCCAAAAUAAAAAAACAGUAGAAAACUAUAAACAGGAACGCGCUCUCGGACAACCACAUGGGAAACCACGACAGGGCACUGAGUGGAGGUCAGACUAGGUUUUUAUAUCCAUCCUCCCUUUCCCAUUGGUCAGCCCGGUAUUUUGGCUCCAAAAUGUGCGUGUGCGGUGCGCGCGUCGGGUUAUUUCCGCCCGUGGAUGUGCAACGGCCAGUGCCAGACUGUAUGCUGUAACGGACCAUUUCAGCACACAAGGGGUUAAAACCGUUUAGGCGAUUGUCCCCUUUCAGAGAUGCAGGCACAGCUACUGUAGAACACCAAACUCCCGAACCGCAUGUAAGGGAAUGCUCCAAACUCCCGAACGGCAUACAAUAUAACACUCCAAACUCACGAACUGGAACCAUACGAAUCGCUGCUAGCAGACGAAUAGUUUCCCAAGCGGCUUACACUCCUAGCAAUCAGUCUCUAUCAGCAUUCAGUAAAUCCCCCCAAAGACGAGACAAGGCUCCGUAUUAAGGGUCAAGCAGUGGUCUGUUUAAUGAGGGCUACUUGCCCAGUAUUCAUGCAAGUCUCACACCUGGUGGACACUCCCCUAGGGGACCAAAUUGGAGACUGUGACAAAAGACAAACAAUCAGCAAAAUAGGACACACAGUCACAUUAUAUUCCCACAAUGCAUCAUGGCUUCCUCCCCUCUGCCCUGGAGAUAAUUGAGAAGUAAUUCAAUUAUCUCCCAGGACAAUGGCAAAUCGCCAUUAUGCACGCGGGGAUACUAAAAUAAGAAUUACUAUUAAAAUACACAUGUGACACAAGUUACAAUGAAUAUAUACAUUUAACAUAUCCCCAGAUAGCUCAGGUCUGAGUGCACAUUAUUAAGCGAAUGGCGCUCAGACCACACAAAUACAGUUUAAUCGCCAUGGAGCCAAAGUCUUCACAAAGUCAGUUCUCAUACGAAUGAGCUCCAUGGGAUUCCUAUCUGGGGUAUAGUGCAGUCAGGUACAACUACCGAAUACCGGGCCGUUCGUGCACUUCCACCGAACAAGAAGGGAGGUCGGCGGCUUCAGCGGUGUUCGCACCAAACUGUGUCCGUUUUUAGUUCCAUGAGUUAAGCGUCGAACACCGCUGUUCGUUCGCGUGUUUAAAAUGGCCGCGACCUCGUGUUCGGUAUACGAAUGGCGGCCACCCAGUAUUCGUCAAUUAAGCUGCGGUUAACCGCAGCUUCUGGGAGGCUAAUUGCCGGCACACUCCAGGUCCCAGGUGGUCUAGUCAUUCGUGCGGUUGUUCGGUAGAUUGAAUCUACCGGACACCGGGCAGAAAAGCAUGAAUAAGUCUUUUCUGCAGGGGAAACAAGGUCUUUUAACAUGGGGCCAUAAUCCAAAGGCAGCAGCCGAGCAACCAGGCUUCUCCAAUGCAAUGUGGCGAGAUUGCUCUCGUCACAUAUGCUGAGAGAGUCAGGACUGCAAGCUUCUGGCCGCUGAGCACCAGGUGAGGAAAAAGUGUCAGAUGGAUAUGUGACAUAACCCACCACCUGAAGACCGCCCACCGGGCGGGCAGGACUGGGCUUGAGAGGAAACUUGGCAUAAAAAGCGCAGAUUUUACGGCCUGCAUGUAGGUCAGGAGCCGAAACCCAAGAAUGAUCAGCAGGACCGUAACCUUUCCAAUCCACCAAGUACUGUAAAGUGCCCCGAGAAAACCUAGAAUCCACAAUAGAAGAUACCUCAUACUCUUCCUGACCAACCACCACUAUCAGAGGGGGAGGAACACAAGGAACAGUAUAUUUAUUGCAGACAAGAGAUUUGAUUAAGGACACAUGAAAAGUUUUGGGAACCCCUAAAGAUGCAGGAAGAUCCAGAGAGUGAGACACUGGAUUGAUCCUAUGAAGCACUUUAUAGGGACCAAGGAAUCUGGGGGCAAACUUCAUGCUAGGGACCUUAAGCAUGAUAUUGCGAGACGACAACCAAACCCGGUCACCCACUUGGUACACCGGGUUGGCACUCCUACGCUUAUCAGCAAAAUGUUUGAAGCGUUCAGCAGCAGCCCCCAGAGCAGUUUGAACCUUAACCCAGGUAUCCCGAAUGGAGGAAAGAAGCUCAUCCAGAGCAGGAAUGGCAGUAUCAGAAAAAAACGCAGGGAGAACCGUAGGAUACCUACCAUUAUUGACAAAAAAAUGUACUGUGCCCAGAGGAGUCAUGAACAGCAUUGUUUCUAGCGAACCCGGCCCACUGGAGUAGUUUGGACCAAUUGUCCUGUGUGCUAUUAACAAAACAAGCAAAUAAACUUCUAAUUACUGGUUAGCCCUCUGAGCUGUUCCAUUGGUCUGUGGAUGGUAGGAGGAGGAAAAGGAGAGAUCAAUCCCCAAUUGUUUACUGAACACCCUCCAGAACCUGGACACAAACUGAGAGCCCCUAUCAGACACAAUAUUGUGAGGGAUGCCAUGCAAACGGACAAUUUCACGUAUGAAAAUUAGGACCAAUUCUUGCGAAGAUGGCAACUUCUUGAGAGGAAUGAAUUGAGCCAUCUUAGAAAAUCGGUCUACAACCAUGAGUAUAGUAGUGAACCCAGCAGAGCUAUGAAGCUCAACAAUAAAGUCCAUGAACAAGUGGGACCAUGGAAUCUCAGGAACAGGAAGAGACUGCAACAGGCCACAAGGAAGUGCAUGAGUCACCUUAGAAACUGCACACAGAGAACAUGCCUGCACAUACUCUUUUACAUCUUUCCUGAGUGAAUCCCACCAAAAUUAUCUAGUGAUUGCGGCAGUGGACUUAUUGAUUCCCGGGUGUCCAGCAGUUACAUUGUCAUGGAACACUUUCAUGAUAUUAACCCUUUCACAUAGGGGAACUAACAGUUUAUCACACGGUUUACCACUGGGCACCUGAGGCUGGGCCUCCAGUAUGGUGCCAAGCAGUGGAGAAGAUAGUGAGAGGACAGUAGUAGCAAUAAUACAAUCUGGCGGAAUAAUAGGAGAGGUCACCUGUUCCGGAGCUGAUUCAUUAUCAAAUUGCCUGGUCAAGGCAUCAGCCUUGGUAUUUUUAGAACCAGGUCUAUAAGUAAUGAGGUAGUUAAAUAGUGAAAGUAACAGUGACCAUCUAGCCUGUCUGGAAGACAAAGUUUGACAUCCCCUAUAUAUGCCAGGUUUUUGUGGUUGGUUAUGAUCAACAAGGGGUCCUUGGAACUCUCCAAAAGAUGUCGCCAUUCCUUGAGGGCAAGAAUACUGGCCAACAGUUCUCUAUUGCCAAUAUCGUAGUUGUGCUCAGCAGGAGACAGCUUUCUGGAGAAGUAGCGACAAGAAUGCAAUGGUGUUCCCUGGCUUUCUCUCUGAGAGAGAACAGCCCCUACCCCUGUCUCGGAUGAAUCAACCUCCAAUAUAAAAGGUUUACUGGUGUUGGGAUGUUUUAGUAUGACCGCAGAGGCAAAUCUUUGUUUAAGAGUCUCAAAAGCAUUCACAGCCUCUUUGGACCAUACCGUGCUACUAACCCCUUUGCGAGUCAUAUUAGUGAUGGGGGCUAUUACAGAAGAAAAUCCCUUGAUGAAUCUUCUGUAAUAGUUGGCAAAACCAAUAAACCUUUGAAUGGCUUUUAAACCAGAGGGUAAUGGCCAGUGUAGUACAGCCUCUAGUUUUUUAGGAUCCAUUUGAAACCCAGAUGCAGAGAUGUUGUAACCCAAAAAGUGGACUGGUCAAAAAUGCACUUUUCUAAUUUACAAUAAAGUUUAUUUUUCAACAACGUCUGCAGAACAUGUUUUACAUGGGAGUGGUGAGUUUGAAGAUCAGGGGAAUACACCAAAAUAUCGUCCAAAUAAACCAAGACAAAUGAGUAAAUGAAUUCCAUUUAUAGUCUUGGAAUAAGGCCGGGGUGUUGCAUAACCCAAAUGGCAUUACCAGAUAUUCAUAGUGUCCACUACGGGUAUUAAAUUCCGUCUUCCACUCAUGAUUCUCUUUAAUUCUAACCAAAUUGUAAGCGCUCCUAAGGUCGAGCUUAGUAAAUACUUUAAGUCCCUGCAGUCUAUCGAAUAAUUUGGAAAUUAGUGGGAUAGGGUAUGCAUUUUUUACAGUGAUUUUAUUAAGUGCCCUGUAGUCUAUGCAAGGGCGUAACUCACCACCCUUUUUUGAAACAAAAAAGAAUCCUGCACCAGCUGGUGAGGAUGACUUUCUUAUGUGCUUUUUGCUCAAAGAUUCUUGGGGACAUACAGCAUAAACUUAGGAGGCAUAGUGCCUGGAAACAGAUUAAUGGCACAGUCAUAUGCUCUGUGGGGAGGCAAUACAUCGGAUUGAGCCUUGUUAAACACCUCCUGAAGUUCUCGGUAUUGUAUGGGAACUCCAGGAGUUUGGAGAGUGGUAGUGGGAAGGUCAAUAGUACCCAAUCUCUUUAUUACUGGUUUUAUACAUCUCCCCAUACACUUCUUACCCCAUUCCAAUAUUUCCCCAUUAGCCCAGUCAAUAUAGGGAUUGUGCUUACUCAGCCACGGAAACCCUAAUAUGAAAGGACAUGAUGGAGAAGUAAUAAUCUUUAGCGGCUAUUUCAUCUAGUAUAGUCUCAGAGAGACCCUUUUUGAAUGCUGAGAUUAACCCAUUGUUAGUCCAGUCGGAAUUCAAUAGUGUAGAAUAUUGCAUAUUCUAUGUUUCUAUUGAUUAUAUAUGGAUGUGUGGAUUGACAUAAGUAACAGAUGGUAUAAGUCACAAGGCUUUCUGUGUCCGAGAGCUCUGGAAUGUGGAUGUGGGGGUUUUGUCCUUAAAUGGCUAGAGUUAAAUGCUGACGUUAGUAUUAGCACAUCUUUAUAGUAACAGAGGGACACGAGGUCGCUCUGUCUUGAGUCUUGGCUCUGGCUCUCUCUCUCGAUGUAAAGAUGUAAGGAUUUAAAGAAGUCCAGCAAUUACCAUCUGCUGUUGAAUGUCCAUUAUCCUGUAACAUAAUUUAUUAUGUUUUAUUAUGUAUCAGUAACUAAGAAUAAACAUGAAGAAACCGUAAGUCAGAUUGCGUAUUAGUACUUUUCAAUAAUAUAGACAUAUAUUAUUGUGGCGAGCAUUUGGCCCAAGACUAUAUAUACAAAAGACGUAUAUAUAUAUCAAUCAACUGAAGACAAGAAGAAAUUAAGAGGAUUCUACGUUAACACCAAUCCAAGCUAAAUUUUACAAAUAGCAUAAUCCGAGAUAGACUGGUUACCUUGUCUGAUGUGCAUAAGGGCAGUGGAGGCGUCAUCCUCUCUACCCAAUGGCUCAAACGUGAGUUUGAAUUCAGCAAGGAAUUCCUGGUAAUUAUGAGCAAUGCUCCUGUAACGGACAAUUUCAGCACACAAGGGGUUAAAACCGUUUAGGCGAUCGUCCCCUUCCAGAGAUGCAGGCACAGCUACUGCAGAACACCAAUCCGCCGAACAGGAAACCAUACGAAUGCUGUAAACAGCCGAAUAGGAAAAACCAUACGAAUAGGUUUACACUCCUAGCAGUCGAACUGGAACAGCAUACAAUAAAUCCCCCCAAGAACGAGACAAAGCUCCGUGUUGAGGGUCAAGCAGUGAACAGUCAGAGCUGUGGGUUUAUUGUGCUUCUGUACACAUUCUUACACAUUAGUACCACCCACAGGGUUUUGGAACACAAUCAAUAAACACAUACAAUACACUCAAACACUCCCACACAAAUUCCUCCCCUCUGCUUGUGAUUCAAUUACCUUACACAAUGGGUAAUGUAAUUUAGCACAAGCAGAGAAAUACAAUUUUUCCACAUUAUUCAUAACUUGAAAAGUAUGCAUCACAGGGGCGUGGCCUGGACGAGAACGCGAGCGGUCGCAUGUUCUAAAAGCUCCGCGGCAGUAAAGGCCCUCACACGAUAAUUAGACCCAAACCGGACAAAAUAAACGGGCACCAGGCGCUACCGACCAUGUCCCACGCCAAGGCAAAGCGGGCGACCGAGAAACAGGACAAACUCCUGUUUUUCAACGCCAAACAAGGGCACACGCGGGGAGCGGCAACACAGGAAGACCUCCAAGAUGGCGCCGAAACGGAAGGAGCCCAAGGAAUGCUUACAGAGGCCUCGGGCCGCGUCCUCACUACGGAGGGGAUGCAGGCUAUGCUCGACGAUAUGGAGGCGAAACUGCAAACAACACUGCAACGCUCAUUCACAGACCUCCGUGCAGACAUCCACAAAUUGGGGUCACGCACCUCAGAUCUGGAGAAUCAGAUGGAGGCGCAAUCGGAGGCUCACAACCGCCUAUCUAAUAAGGUGGAGGAAGUAUGGGAUAAGAUGCAAGAAUAUGAGGCCAAAAUUGCGGACUUGGAAGACCGCGCACGCCGCAGUAACCUGAGACUGCGGAACGUGCCUGAAGACAUAGGCCCGCAAGAGCUGCAGGCGUACGCAACGGGGCUUUUCCACACACUUGUCCCUGAUCUGCCACAGAGUGUCCUGCUGUUGGAUCGCAUCCACAGAGUGGCCAAGCCCCAAUACCUACCUGCUGAUACGCCAAGAGAUAUCGUCUUGAAGAUGCAUUACUACCAUGCAAAGGAGGCGGUCUUGAGAGCGAGCCGCACACGAAAAGACAUACCUACUGAAUUCCAAAAGGUGGGAAUCUUCGCGGACAUCUCUGCUAUGACGCUGAGGAAGAGAAAGACUUUUGGCGCUAUCACAGUGGCUCUGCGAGACAGCAACAUCGCAUACAGGUGGGGAUAUCCAACCAAGUUGCUGGUCCAACGCAACGGCACCCUUACAGCCAUCACAUCCCCAGAGGAAGGUCUCCUGAAGCUGAGAGAAUGGGGCAUCACCCCGCGCCCAGAACCACAGAGGCCUGCAUCGCACGAGCGACACACCUCCACAUGGAAGCGGGUGCGAAAAUAGCCCUGGACGGGGAACAAAUACGAACUUUUCAAGUCGCCCGCAAGUAUACAGUAUGCUGCAUCACGCAAUGCAAAAUAGCCAUGUUAGGCAUAUUGUUUGAUUUUGGUGUGAUUUAAUGUUAGACUAUCCAAGCCAGACUAGGGGUAUGAUAACCAGGGAGCAAUUGAGGUCAGAUAGCCAGACAAAGUUAUAACCAGAUAUUUAAGGGUCAUGUGUAGACCUAAGCUAAGUCCGUACAGAGUUAGGGAUAACCUCUCCCAACGGUGUUAAUGCUAAGUUAAAAAAAAAAUAAAAAAAUAUAUCAAGUAUAACAAUACAAUAAUACCACACCCCCAAUAAUAAAAAAAUAAAAAAAAGUCUUACCAAGCCCCAAAGACCAAAUACGCCUAAUAAUGUAGAGCGAUGGCUCACUAAAGAGUGUUAGCUAAUAAGAAGACGGCAUAACAGUGCAAAUUGGGUCAAUCACCAUGUUAAAAGAAACAAGAGGGCCGCACUCGCGGCAGCACACCUCCCCCACGCAGGAUCGAAGCAUUACGCUCCGACCCCCAUGGCUCCCUAAAUGGGAACCUUGCCAUUAUUCUGGCAUUUUUGUUUAUGAUUGUAUAUAGGUUUGCAUUUUAUGUAAUAUUGAGUUCUGUUCUUGUUAUGUUUCCCUCCCUUAGCCCCCCUACAACCAAUUCGGGCCAAGUGGGUGGCCCGCACGUAUUACCUACCAUCUACACUGUAGCAUCACGAGCGCCUCUCCACUGGAUACAAAGCACCGAACAGACAUACCUACCAAAUACCCGCAGGGGUUAUCUUAGUGGGAUCUGCCCAGCUCGCCGUAGCUGGGGAGGGCAGAGCCCCAUCAUAGACCAAUACAUAUCAAACUCUCACAAUACCUUCCCAUACAAACCACCUUAAGCUUUACAGCCACAAUGUAAGGGGACUCAAUCUCCCGGUCCAACGACACCUUCUUAGCAGGGAUGUAGGUAAAGCGGAUGCGGACAUCGUGUGUUUACAGGAAACACAUUUCAGGGGCACGUCCCAUCCCAGCAUCCUGACCAACUCCUACCCUCACCAGUUCCACUCUACGUCCACGACCAAAUCCAAGGGAGUCACCACCCUGCUCAGUAAAAAAGUCGCUUUCACUCUGAUCACUGAGGACACCGACCCAGAAGGCAGAUACGUUAUAAUAGUGGGACACAUAAAUAAUAUACUAUAUACCAUAGUGAAUAUAUAUGCCCCAAACACCAACCAGAGGAAUUUCAUACACAGAAUGAUACACAAAAUCUCUCACAUCCAACAAGGCACUACAAUUAUAUGUGGGGACCUGAACCAUGUCCUAAACCCAGCUGUAGACACUACUCUCUCCCGAACCAGCCCGCGAUAUAAAUCACUUAAGCGCCAAAGCGCGGCCCUGACCAAAUUACUGUCAAUGCAUCACUACUAUGAUGCAUGGAGAGUCACGCACACAGAAGACAAAGAGUACACCCACCACUCGCAGGUUCAUAAUACAUACUCGAGAAUCGACGCGAUCCUAGUGGAGGGAACCACACUAGGGCAGGUAGUGGACUGUCGGGUGGGACAGAUAGUGUGGUCUGACCAUGCCCCUAUAGAACUAAUCUUGAGGGACACUUAUGACUUCAAACAUAGGAGCCCCUGGCGGCUUAACGAGACCCUCCUGACAGACAAAACCUUCUCGGGAACGCUAGCGGAGUCCCUACAAACUUAUUUUACAGACAAUGCCAACCCCGACUUACAACACCACACAAUUUGGCAAGCACAUAAGGCAGUUGCCCGUGGACUCCUUAUAAAACAAGCAUCAUACAUUAAAAGGAAGACACAGACACAAGUGACGAAGUGGCAGAAAGACAUUUACACACUGACGAUACAAAAUCAACUUCACCCCACACAACAGCUAAAAGAACAAAUAGCCCUAGUGCGCCAUCAACUUCGCCAACAUGCGCUAACUAAAGUAGGACACAACUUAUGGAAAUUGAAAGCCUCACACUACGCCCAGGGGAAUAGAGCGAGUAAACUACUGGCAGCAAGGUUAAAAAAGCGACAACAGUCACAGAAAAUAGCGUACCUACACACGAAAGCAGGGGGGAAAGCUAUGUCGCCGCUCACUAUUAACGAUGAGUUCGCACAAUACUAUGGGGACCUGUACAAUCUCAGCAACGAUGCAACCAUACCCACACCGACAACGGCAGAGAUAGAGACAUACCUAAACAAAAUCAACCUCCCGACUUUGACAGCCCAACAGAAAGACACCCUUACUCGACCAGUCACCCCUGAGGAGGUAGGGGACACCAUAAAGUCGCUACCAAGAGGCAAGGCCCCGGGCCCUGAUGGAUUUGCCAACUCUUACUAUAGCAAAUUUAGAGAUAUAUUGGCCCCAUGCCUAGCAGAAGUUUUCAAUGAGGCCGUGCGAACACAAACCCUACCGGAGGAAAUGCAGCUCGCCCACAUUAUCACUUUGCCCAAGCCUGGCAAACCCCCAAAUUAUCCACAAAAUUUUAGACCCAUAUCCCUCCUUAAUACUGACACUAAAUUACUGGCGAAACUGUUCGCUAUGAGGCUAAGCCCGAUAUUACCACACAUCAUACACGAUGACCAAGUGGGAUUUGUGACGGGGCGCCAGGGGGCAGACAACACCAGAAAAGUCCUCGACCUCAUGCAAAGCUUAGAGGCGAAACGGGAAGGGGGGGUUCUGCUUUCACUGGACGCAGAAAAAGCCUUUGACCGACUGGGGUGGGGAUUUCUGCAGGCGGCCCUGAGGAGGUACGGGAUGCCGGAGGGGUUUAUUUCAGUGGUCAGGGCAUUGUAUUCGGCACCAAGAGCCCAAGUACUUAACUCGGGUUUUGUGUCAAAAAAGAUAACCAUUACCAAUGGAACAAGACAGGGGUGCCCCCUGUCCCCCCUGCUAUAUGUACUGGCACUGGAGCCGCUGGCUGCAGUGAUCAGAGCCCACCCUGAUAUACAUGGGGUCCAAGUGGGGGACAGGGAGUACACCCUUAAUCUAUUCGCAGACGACAUACUCCUGACGUUGACGCAACCAAUAAUAUCCCUACCGAAUUUACUACAGUGCAUACGAGAAUAUAACAAAGUAUCCUACUACAAAUUAAACCUCACAAAAACACAAGCUAUGGGAAUCCAUCUGCCAGGACAUACUUUACAAACACUGACGAACUCCUUCACCUUUGACUGGAGGGAAGACUAUAUCACAUUCCUGGGGAUUAAGCUAGCCAAGACGAGCGGCCAAAUGUUUAAAUAUAAUUAUGAGAAACUCCUGCAGGAAAUCUCUCAGACGUUAGACCAAUGGAACAGUGACUUCCACUCGUGGCAUGGGCGCAUAGCGGCAUUUAAAAUGUCACUGUUGCCAAAAUUACAAUACCUAUUCCGCACGCUGCAAAUCCCUAUACCUAGGCAAUAUAUGGUCAAACUACAAAAAAUCAUCACGAGAUUCGUGUGUGCGAACAAAACACCCAGAGUGGCUUACUCUACAAUAAAAAGAACAACGGAGAGGGGGGGUAUGAGCUUCCCAGACGUCAAACUGUACUACAAGGCGGCCAUUCUAGCAGCGCUAGCCACGACACACAGGGCAGAUAACCCACCACAAUGGGUAGCCAUUGAAUCCCAAUGGACGUGUAGAGCAGGGAUGCACCACUUGUUUUGGGUGCCAAAACACCUAAGGCCAACAACACCGACCAUGCUAGAGACCACCAAACUAAUGCUGCAUACCUGGGACACAUAUAGAACGCACCUCAGUGGCCCAGGAACCACAUCGCUAGCAUCGACAAUGUAUAGUAUCCACCUGAGGAACAAAACAUUUGACUAUCGGACUUGGACGAAUGCAGGGUGUACACACAUACACGACUUAUACAAGGGUACAUCCCUAAAACAGUUCCCGGACCUACAAACACAGUACAACCUACCGAGUAAAGCAAUUUUCUCAUACUUGCAGCUCAAGUCCACCCUACGGCAACCCAAGACUCCACCUAUGACACCCAUGAUCUCAAACUUUGACACGUGGUGCCUCACGGGCAAGCCACACAGACGAAGCAUUUCAAAAAUAUAUAGCACAUUGCUUGAGGGCACUCACGCAUCCACAGACAACUUUAUACAGGCAUGGCACAAAGACCUUGGCAGCACCUUCACGGAGGCCCAAUGGUCCAGAGCCUUCACAAUCCACAAGGGCAACACAGCCUGCAUUACACACUUUGAACAAGUGAGAAAACUGCAAUACAGGUGGUAUUUGGUCCCCACACGGCUAGCACACAUGUUCCCGAACAUGUCUACUCAGUGCUGGAGAUGCCAGCUAGACACAGGCUCACUAAUACAUAUUUGGUGGACAUGUAAAGACGUGCAACCCUACUGGGCCAUGGUGAGCACCAUCGUGGACCAACUGCUUCCUGCAAAGAUGACCCUGACCCCGGCUACAUGCCUCUUAUACAUAUGGCCAGAAGGCCUGACCAAGGUCCACUCCAAACUCCUAUUCCACACGCUGAUAGCAGCAUGUAACCUAAUAGCAAAAAACUGGAAAUCACGGAACAUCCCCACAAAAACGGAGCUAGUUACCCAGAUCCAAAAGAAUUGGGAAUAUGAACGCAUGGCGGCCCAACAAUUGGGGACGGGAGUAGCAACUAUGGAGGCGGGGAAAAUUUGGGAACAAUACUGGAACAAGGUGAAGUCCCAAACAACUGGGGAUGAGUAAGAUUCUUUAGCCUCACCAACGCAAUCUGAGAGGGUAUACCCCGGGAAACAGUGGAAAGAGGCCGGUGAUGAGAGAUCAAACAGGUACAGCGAACCCUUCUCAAAAGAAACCAGGUAGAUGUACCACAUACAGACGAGACAAACAACCCACCAGUGUAUAUAUUUAAGCUAACUCCCCUCAUACCCCUCCCCCCCCGGGUGAGCACCUGGACCCCCCCCACUCCCCCCCCACCACCUCCUUCUGUCCAACUCAUUGACAUAGGCCACACGGUAAAAAGGCACGACAACGAGCGCAGGACAGGCUGGUAAACAUGUGGACACCUCCGGGCUGAGGUGCAUGGAUAGCGCCCCGCCGACACUGUUUAAACUAUCCAAACUACGGCUGUACUAAAUAAAGUGGGAUAUAAUGACCGUUGGAAAUACACACGGUACCAACUAACCCCACCCCAUCAUACCCCACAUUUGUUGUCUGUGAUUCCCAUCCCCACCUUUGCAACACUAAUGGUAUACUAGGUAACUUCAGCCAGACCGGCAUCUGGAGAUACAUGUUAAAGAGCCAAAACAAUAAGCUGGUUAUACAGAAAGGCCGGACAAGGUUGUAGUCAUGUUUAUAAAUACUAAUAACCUGUGUAAUGUAUAAAGUGAAAAUGUUGUAUAAAGUAUAAUGUCAUGAGUGGAACCUUUGUUAUUCCACCCUGCCCCAUUCAUCCCCCCCCCCCCUCAUUAUUUUUGUAUCCCUUCCCCCCCCCUUUUUCUAUAUGGAAAAUAAAAAUUGUCAAAUUGAAAAAAAAAGAAAAGUAUGCAUCACAUUCACAUAAAACUUACAUUUUCAGAAUCAGCAAAUACAAACAUACGUCAAAAUCAUACAAAUUGGUCCAGUGGUUCAAAAGAUAGAUCGUAGUCCUUUGUGACCACAGGAAGCAUGGCUUUUCUGCCCAAAACCAGUUCCAUGGAGUCUUCUAUCCUGGAGAUAAUUGUGAAGUAAUCCAAUUAUCUCCAAAGACAGAGGCAAAACUCCAUUGAACACAUGGCAGCAAAAAGACAGUAAAAUACAAACAAAAUACACAAGGUUACAUUUAUGACAUAAAAUACAGACAUGCAACAUAUGCCCAGAUAGCUUAGGUCUGAGCGCACAUUAUUACUGAAUGGCGCUCAGAGCACACACAUACAGUUCAAUUGCCAUGGAGCCAAAGUCUUUCCCAUAGUCUUUCAUUAUACGAAUGGGCUCCAUGGCAUAGCUAUCUGGGGUAUCACUGCUCAAACAGGGCAAGCACCAAAUGACCCGCUUUUCUUGUCUUUGCAGCGGAAAAUCAUGCCUUUUAACAUGGGGCCAUAAUCCAAAGGCAACAGGCGAGCAACCAGGCUUCUCCAAUGCAAUGUGGCGAGAUUGCUCUCGUCACAGCUCUGAUUACUCUCCCAUAACGGAUUAGCCCAGGCAAGGGCCUUGCCCUUUAAUUGAUUCAUUAGCUAACCAAUUUUUGCUCUGUCCGUGGGGAACAACCCUGGUGAGGCCUCAAAAUGGUACUCCACCUGAUUAAGAAAUCCCCUGCAUUCCUGGAUAUUGCCAUCAAAAUGUAGGGAUGGCGUUAAGGAGAUGCUGGGAGUCCUAUUAACAGUGGUUGGAGGUACACAGGUUUGAGGUGCUAUAGGAGGAGGCGAUGCAGGCUGCAGAUGCGCCGUUCUUUCGAGAAGCAUACUGAAAGCCUGAGCGAAUUGAUCCAUGCGGUGAUCAUUCUCCUCUAAUUUCCUCUCGCAAGCAGCUAUAUGCUGACACAGUUCUACAGGAUCUAUGGCCAUGUCGUAAUAUCAGGAUUACUGUAUGAUCCAGCACGUAGAACUGUAUAGCCUGGAUGACAAAUAAGUAACGUAUUACCGGUCCUUAGAAUGGCCGAAUUUAACGUACAUAGAAUAGUCAAAAUACUAGCCGAGGUCAGGGAACACAGAAAGGGACGCAACGAUGAGGAAAGCCAGGAGUCAGGAUACCAGAAUACAGAGAAGUCAAUAAGCAAAGCCAAAGUCAAAAACCAGUAGAAAACUAUAAGCAGGAACGCGCUCUCGGACAACCACAUGGGAAACCACGACAGGGCACUGAGUGGAGGUCAGACUAGGUUUUUAUAUCCAUCCUCCAUUUCCCAUUGGUCAGCCCGGUAUUUUGGCUCCAAAAUGUGCCUGUGAGGUGCGCGAGCACACCCGCGGUCACGUGCGUGAGCACGCUCGGGGUCACGUGCGCGCACGCUGGGUUAUUUCUGCCCGUGGAUAUGCAACGGCCGGUGCCAGACUAUAUGCUGAGACAGUCAGGACUGCAAGCUUCCAGCCGCUGAGCACCAGGUGAGGGAAAAGUGGCAGUGUUGUACUUGUGAGGUUAGUAUCAUCUUCCAAAACUUGGACCUUCUUGCCCACCUGCGGAUAUCAUUCCCCAAAAAUGUAAUUUUGGCUUGGAAGGAAACUUCCAAUCUGUCCAGCAUGGCCGCUAUAUCAGCCUUGGAGGGUAGGUUGCGAAUUACCUCUUUGAGGUCACUGUCUUCCAGGCAUAACAAUGCCUCCGAUCCCUCUGGGCUUGAUAUAUUUUUUAAAGCAUAUCCUCUUUGUUAAAAUGUUCUAAACUGUGUAUAUGUAUUCUGCACUAGUGUACUGAAGGUGGAUAAUUUGAGAGGGAGGGAACUUCAAAUAAUAUCCCUUGAUUCCUAGAAUCAAGGGAGCCCAGGAAACUCGCACACAGCGGUGGACACGGUGGCAGACCCCGAGAUCGGGAGCUUUUGGACCCUGAGGGGCUGAAUGAAGCUUCUGGGACUGUGGCCUACUCGAGAGGGGAGCAGGGUGGACGGACUCUGCCCUGUCUCUUUUCGCGGCUGCCACACACUGACUCCCUGAGAUGCCUGCCAGUCCCGUUCCCCCCCCCUGUGGUCCAGCAGGGGGUUAUGUCGGUCCCCCACUGCGGAGAGCUUGAGAGAAGUGGAGAACGAGAGGCACGGCACUCCUAAGUCCUACCUUCCAAGAUGGCGGCAGCGCAGAGCCCGCGCCAAUAUCCCCUGCCUCGUGAAACCCCAGAGGAGAAAAGCCGUGCAGCACUUAAACCUGCAAAACCAUAAAGCAAGCCCAGUGACUCUGAUUUAAGAUUCGAGAGUGGCAAAAGCAUUGGUGACUACGCAACAGGCGGAACGACACGUUAGCACCGUGCUGGGGAGUAGAAAACCCCUCCAGGGCAAAUCUUGCCUGCAAAGGCCUGCCCAUCCUGCAACCCAAGUGAAGCAGACCCCAAAAUCAUAAUGAGAGAAGGUGAAGUGAAAGAAGGAUUACCCGAAGUUGCUCAAACCCAGCAACCCAUGCGUCAGACGGCUAACUACCGUCCAAGAUACCACCGACCUAUGAAUCAAACAAGACCACUUCCACCAACUGGUGAGAUUGAAAACAAGGAAAACCAGUUUGAGUCAGUGGCCCCAGACCAGCAACAAAAUCGCUGAGGCUUCAGAAGACCAUACAACUACAGGCAUCGACCCAACCAACCAAGUGGUCCACCACAGGGGAAGAAGGAGUCAACCAAGUUGGCUGAAACCCCAAAAGAGAAGCCUUGCACAGUGGGUGAGAAAAGCAAUGCUGUGUAAUCUGAGUGACCUGAUCUUCCAUCAUGCAUAAUGUGAGCUGAGAAAGGAUGGACAUCAUGACAGUUGCCAAUUAAUUGGGAGAGAUGACAGAUACAUCUCCUAUGCUCCUCAGUUUGGAUUUCACAACAAAAGUACACUCAUAUUUUGUGUUCAUGCAUGCAUAUGUCAGGGGCAAAUUCAAAUGAUAGUUUAAAGAUGUUACUUACCUGAAGUCUGCUUCCUCUUAGGCGUUCUGUGUUUGUGUACUCUUACAAUGCUGUGCUUAUUUUGUGUGCAACGGUGUGAGAGACAUUGUCCAAUACAAUGUCUCUUACACAACACUACAUUUUUUUCUUACACAAUACUACAUUUUUUUAAUUUAUUUUUUUCUUACACAACACUACAUUUCUUUUAUUUAUUUUUUAGGUAACAGCAUUACAAUAUAUAGAGAAGCACAGAGGCUGUUGUAGGACAUUGGCAAAGCAAAUAGUCUCAACCAUAACAUAAAAUGUAAUUUGUAGUCCUGUUUAGUAAUCUCAAGCAACUGUUUCAAUUGGGGUAUUGCAGAAGGCAUAAAACAUAUAGACUAUUUAUCAGUCCUGAAGUAGGGGAGAUUAAAAAGGAGCAGUAAACACCAACUCCAAAGUGCCCUAGCAACCCGACACGAGCUUAUAUUUAAUAAAUACAUUUCUGCACUAAAACAGUAAGGAAAAGACCAUCUAAAUAAUGCUCUAAUACAAGGAAAAGUAACCAGACAAUACUUUGUGUUAUUUGUUUUUGCAUGCAAUGAAUUAAAAACUUACAGGAUCAAUGGUAGAGCUCAUAUGAGGAGACAUAUUCAUUUAAUUAAUUGCAUGCAAAAAGGUUAUGGAGAGUGAGCACUAUGGCGCCUAUGUUGUUUUUGUGGAUCGGGUGGAGUCACCUCCCAUCUGCUUUGUGUGUGCAGUUGGGGAGGGUGCGGUCGCCACAUCGGUGUUUUGUGACUGUUCAUUAUGUUUUGCGCCUGGGCACAUUGCUGCUGCUAUUUUCGGUGCAACUGGAUACACUAUGUAGUCAUUUGGCCAUUGUGUCUUGGUCUUUUGACUCCAGUUGUCACCAUGUAAUUCUUUUGUCUUUGGUGUUGUUUUGUCAAAUCCUGCACUCCCCCGUGUGGUGAUGCACACUGGCUGCAAGUGUCAUGGCAUGAUAUGAACAUAAAGAUUCCAAAGAAAUGAACAACACAGCAGCCAUCAAAAUGUAAAGUGUAUGUAGCAAACUCACCCCUUUAAGAGAGUUUGCCAUGAGCUUUUGGAGGGGCUUGUUGCCCACCUCCUGCCAUGUGACUAUGGCCCUGGAGAUAUUGCCCUUUAAAGACAGUAUUUGGGCAUAAUGGAUUUUUAUUAUGCGGCUACUGGCCCUUUAAGCACAGUGUAUGGACUUCUAUUAGACUGUGUAUAGGAAGGUGUACCCCUCCCCCCGUUUCCUGUCCCAUUGUUCUCCAGCAGGGCGUUGUCCCAGGCACACUGCCAGACUAGUUGGAACUGGUUUGGGCUGGAAGGCUGUGCUUCAGUGGGCCUAAAGGGAACUCCACCUAACUUUUUAACCCCCAUAACUCCCGAACCCCUGGUCCGAUCUGGGUGAUUUUUGAAUAUGUAUUUGGGGUACAUCUAGAACUUGGGGAAAAAUAUGUACAUUUUAAUUCUGUUAACAGAUAAGCAGAUGGGAGGAGAUGAGUGGGUUGUACCUUGUACUUUAUUGGUUAAUGUACUAAUUAUUGUGGGUGGCUCCCUUGCACGGGAGCAUUGCAUAAAAGCAGGGGUUGUGUACUUAAAAGUUAGUUCAGUUCUGCUCCUGAUACUGUGUGUUGUCCAGUUAUUGGGAAAGGUGAUGGGAUACUAUUCGAUUUUACUGCUGAUUGUGCUUGUUAUGCUGCUGGAUUAUUCUCUCACUGUGGGUACUGUGCCUGGGAUUAUUGCUUGUUCCUGAGCCACACCUGGGCUACCAGAGGAAAUAGUCUGUGAGAGACCAGCGUUACGUUACAGUGUAAUAACUAUAUUGCAUUGCAGUCAUGUCCAGUAAUAUGUCAACAUUGAUUCUUUGCAUUGUAAAAUAGCACAUGUAUACGAAAAAUAUCAGAAUUUUUGGAAAAACUAAAAAGUUAUUUCUUGCUACUGGAACAUGAGUCAGUCGCCCUUAAAGUAGAUUGUUAUAUGCGUUCUUUUUUUCCCCAUCAGUAAAUUUCACCAGAGGGAAAAAAAACUCCCCUUUUUGCUGUUGCAUAUCUGGUGACAUCAUGGUCCAAUUACCGACCCUGGUUCACAGAUACAAAAUUGUCAUGUUUGCUUUUUUCAUAAAUAUAAUCCACACAUGCUUUUGGGGAAAAAAAAAACAAUAGAUGUGAAAAAACAUAAACGCCUGAAACAAAAAAAAAAGAUUUGUAGGUAUACAGAAUAAAAACUGGGUGGACAAAUUGAGAAUGAGGGGUGGACAGAGUAUGGGUAUGGAUUUGGACAAAAUAUGCAGAGUGGCUGUUCUUUGAAACCCAGUGCUUCCUUUCACCUCUACACUAUACCAUGGAAGCUAUGGUAUUUGAAGUAUCAAGGGGGUGUUGCCAAUGCACAAAUCUGCUCUAGGUCCCAAAUAUACCUUUGCAUAAAAGCAUAAACGUCCCAGCUCUGUUGCAGAACAGUAUGCAUGAAAAAAAAUCAGAAAUGGGGCAUACUACCCCUUUCUUUGUCUAUAUCUGUAAAUAUUGACUCACACAGGUAUUUUCUUUUUUUUUAUUAUUAUUAUAAUUAGCCCUAAAACUUUCAUUGGUUAUUUAACUAUUUGGCUGCUAUCUCUAACUUUGAGUCUUUUCUUUAAAAAUUUAAUAUUUGGUCUGUUUUGGGACUGAAUUGCAGAAUCUGGACAUUCUUGAAUAAUGUGAACAAUGUCUUGUUUUGUAGUAGGACUUUAGUAAAUAAACCUAUGCAUGUGCUGUAGGCUUCAGGGGAGGUAUAAGUCCAAAGCAGCCCAAAUUAUAAAUUACACAUAUAUUUUGCAGUUUGUUAACAUGCACUGCUUCUUUCCCACUGUUUCUUUCUCACAUACACACUGUUUCUAUUUUAGAAAUCUGAGACUUCCAUUGAAUAUUAUUGGAUAAGCUUUCCAAAUGAUUUAAUAUUUUUGGAUAAACUUAAAAUUAUUUAAAUAUUUUGUAAAAUAUAAAAAAUUGGUCAUGUUUUUGAUAUUUUUAAUAUAUUAAUCUAUAUACAUGGUAUAUUUUUUCAGGGUUUAAUAUAUAUUUUAAAAGUUUAUCCAAAAAUAUUAAAUCAUUUCAAAAGCUUAAUCCGGCAAUAUUCCGUCGAGACCUGCAUCCUGUUUUUUCUUACACAACACUACAUUUUUUAAAUUUAUUUUUUAGGUAACAGCAUUACAAUAUAUAGGAGAAGCACAGAGGCUGUUGUAGGACAUUGGCAAAGCAAAUAGUUUCAACCAUAACAUAAAAUGUAAUUUGUAGUACUGUUUAGUAAUCUCAAGCAGAAGGCAUAAAACAUAUGGUGAUUACUGCUCCUUUUUAAUUUCCCCUACUUCAGGACUGAUAAAUAGUCUAACUCCAAAGUGCCCCAGCAACCCGACACGAGUUCCCAGAUGGACAAGCAAGUUAAUUAGCAGCCCACCCCUCAGUGUUUACCUGCUACCACCUUCCCCUAUAACCCCAUCUCACCUGGGCACCAAUGCUUUCAUCUUCUCUAUCUUUCAUAACCAUUGUUUUGUGAGCACCUCAAGGCAUCCUGCUGAGCAUUUUGUGGCUGUCCUAGAUUCCUGGAACAGUUUUACAGGGAAGGAGGCUAGGGAAGGAGUAGAGUGUGGCCAGGGGUCAUUUAGUUUGUUGUGGGUGGUGUAUAAGAGAGUCUAGCACCAGUUGUUCUUGUGAACUUACAGGCUCUGCCACAGUGUGGAUAAGUCCAGUGUUUAAAGUCUAUUUAGAGUGGCAUAUGGUUUCCAUCAGGGAACCAUUCAUCCUUACUCGUGCAUUGUAGAAAGUAUAUAUGGAGAUAAUCCAUGUCCAUAGCUUUGCUCUGUAUCCCAUUUUCAAACUCACCCAUUUUCCUUCUGCCGCACACUGUCAAUUAUGCAAGGGUCUAAUGUCAGGAAUAUCCAGUUCUGAUCAUAUGGUGGGAUGCAUAUGCUAAAGUUUAGGGUCAUUUAAUCUGCAGGCAACAAAACUGUUAUAAAAUAUAUUUAUUUUUUAAAACUAUUAAGUAGAUAUACACCACGGCAUGUUUUCUUUAGGGGCAUAUGAAAAAACUGCUUGCAAAACCUACAGACCUACUGUCUGCAGCCUUUGCAAACCAUUCCCUCUUCUCCAACACAUACUUUUAGUCUGCACAAGGCAAUACACCAAUCAGAGGCUUCUCACUGAGUAGCCUGUUCUGGAAAGCAAGCAUGCAAUUGUGGAUUUUAUGUCAAGACACAGAGGCUCAUAUUGCUUAACCAUUUCUUUACUGUCCACCAAUAGCAGCAAAGAAUACAAACAGUAAGAAAAAAUGGUAACCAUAGAGAUAAGCCACUCCCAUAUCAAGUCCCAGUAUAAUAGUCAGCACCUCCCCACAUAUUUCCUCUUUCUUUGCUGCUCCACACAAAGAUAAGUACAUUACAUAUUUACUCUUACCUACAUUUGAUUAAUUAUUGAUUAUUUAUUAUUACCCCCUUCUCCCUGUCUGUUUGGUGCCCUUUUGUGCCUGUUUCACCUUCUCUGUUCAGCUGCUUUCGUGUAUGAAUCAGCCCAUUCAGCUAAAUUCAUCACAAAUCCAUGCUGUUCAUUUGUUUUACCAGCAUAUAGCAUUGUUUGUCUGUUUGCCACGUUCAUCUCUUUUACACGAAUGGUUUCCUUCAUUCUUCUGUUUCCUAUAGUCUUACUAUUCGUUUAUUUCUUCCCACAAAUUCAUCCUUUUUUACCGAACGUUCAGUUUGUGAAUUUGACGAAUUCACAGGAUUUUUUGCAGCGAAUCUUGCGAAUUUGCGGCGGCCAUUUUCUGACAUCCUAUCCUUCUGGCUCUGUGCUACCUUGUGUCUCUUCCUGUCUGCUGGUCUGGACCCUGGUGAGCUUCCCUAUCUCUACCCUCUCUGGUGAAUAUCUAGUCUGGGGUGAUUAACUCCUACUAGCCUGUACUGUUUUAUUUUGUUUGAAUUAUUUGUUCAGUAAACCUUAUAAUUUGUUGGGGAAUCUCACAGAAUACUAUGCCCAAACUUAAGGUGCCUGCCUGCCCCCUUUCCCGUGGUGAGAUGGACAUACCCCAGGACUUGGGAAACCCAUCUUCCUGUUCUAAUUUCCCUUCAUCUGCAUUGGACCCUAUGUGUCUGCCUGAUGAGGCUCAGUCCCUGGCGCUACAGUCACUGACGCCAUUAUGGCUGCUAUGGGCUCUAUGUCUUCUGCCAUCUCCCAGACCAUCUCCCAGGUCUUACUCACGCACCCACUGGCUGCAGAAAGUUCGGUCACACUGAUGCUCAUAACGCAUCCUGUCUCAGACCUUGCAGAUGAAGCGCCUAAAAAGGCUACCAUCAAGUCCAGGCAUUUAAGUCCCUCUGCCUCCACAACCCAUAUGACAGAUGUACCCUUGACCACCCAUGAUAGCAUGCCCAUAUUACACGAAAGAGCCUUUCUACGCCAGGCAGAACGGGCGCGGCAGUGGAAAUGUGCUAGAGCACAACAUGAGAGUGACUCCGACUCAGAAAUCGGGUCUAGUGAGGAGGCUGAUGCUGGGUCCGUGUAUGACUCUGAUAAUGAGUCCCUUUUAUCCCUGCUCAAUCAUGGGUGGCUGUGAGUGGCUCUUGGAUUGACUCCCCAGCUACUGCGGGUGCCACCCUCAUGGAUCCAUCUGGGGAACCCAUGUUCGACCCGGAUGCUCUCAAUCAUCCGAGGUAGGCUGAAUGGCUCCCAGUGGACCAUGUGGCAAGAUACCUAGAGAAUUGGGUACGACGCCCCGUCAGUAAGGUGGCACAUAAUAAACUUAGGGCUGAAUGCGCACGGCCUUUGGUGCCUAGCAAAGUCUGUGCGAUCCUUAUAGUUGAUACCAAAAUGACCCAAUUCCUCUACAAGUUGGGAUGGAAUCCUUGCAAGGGUCUGAAUUCGGCACUAAAAUCAUGCCAAGACAAGCAUUUGUUUGACCUGGCUGAAGUCGCCAGAGCCAAGAACAGGCAAGUUGACCCAGAAGAACUCCGUGGCUGGGUGGCUGCAUAGUGGGCAGUGUUAACACCUCCCUGUCCAUAGAAUAGCGUAAAGCCAUUCUUUUUAAAAUUGAACCAAAGUUGGCCAACCUUGCCCUCACCAAGGUGUGCAAGGAUGCCUGUUAUUUGGGGACUCCUUCAUAAAGGACCUGGGGGGUUUUGUGGGAGCUUUUACAGCCCUGGACAAGGCCCAAUCCUCCAUGAAGAGGGUAUUUCAAGGUUGGGUAUCUACCAGGGCCAGCAGAUUCAUGGGACGUCUGUUCCAACUACCACUCCCGUGGAUCGGGACGAGGCUCCUACACCCAGAGAAUGCCCUACCAAGAGGCGAGAAACCAGUCCCCUUCUUCCCUUCUUGUGGAAGACCAUGGCAAUCCAGAGGCUUCAGAGGGAACUCCGGUUCCAUACGCCCUUACGGUAAGCUUGCAUCUACCUCAUGUUUUUUCCAAUGUUUGUGUAGGGGGCAGAUUCCGUCAUUUUUUCCACACUUGGUCAACCAUCACCUCAGAGGUUUGGGUUCUGACCACCGUUCGGGGUUUCCACAUAGAAUUGGUCGACACUCUGUUGUGUCACAUUCCCCCUCCUCACCCUAUUGCGCUCUACGUGCACGACAGCAUCCAGACAGACGCAGAAUUGUCGGCCCAUUCGCGAAAAAGGGGCGAUAGAACUAGCCCCCACGUACCAUGUAGGGGUACUCAGCAACAUUUUCCUGGUGGAAAAGAAGUCGGAUGCACCCAAUUCAAUUAAUCACUCUCCGUCCCCUCAACACCUUGGUGUGCUACUGCCACUUCAAGAUGGAGGGCAUCCACCUUCUGCGAGACUUACUCCUUCGCGAUGACUUGAUGGUGAAAUUGGAUCUGAAGGACACAUACUUGAUGGUCCCAGUAGCCGAGACGUCCAGAGACUUAUUACACUUCCUCUGGAAAGGCGACACCUGGCGCUUUACAUGCCUUCCCUUUGGACUCUCGUCGGCACCUUGGUGCUUCACGAAAUUGAUGCGCCCAGUCAUGGCUUGGUUGCGCAGUUGAGGAAUUGUCUACUUGGACGACAUCCUAAUCAUGGCACAGGAUCGUUCAGUCCUCCUGCGACACCUGCAAUGGACAAUGGACCUUCUCUCUCACCUGGGUUUCCUUCUCAACUGGGAGAAACCCUGCCUAUCUCCUUCGCGAUGCAUGGAGUUUCUCGGGUUCACCGUAGACUCCGUAAUGGAAUCCGGGAGCCUUCCUCCAUCCAAGAUUCGGACCAUGCGCAAGGAGUUACGCCGCGCUCUAGCGCACCCUCAGUUAUCGCUCUGUCAACUGGCACGGAUCAUUGGACUCCUGGCAUCUUCAAUCCAGGUAGUGUUCCCAGCCCCUCUCCAUUACUAUGCCCUCCAAACACCUGAAGAUUGCACACUUCCGCAGUGGAGCAUCCUAUGCGGACAUGAUCUCUCUGGACACAGAGACUUGAGACGAAUUGACCUCUCAGCUUGGAAUGGCAAAGCCAUCUUCGGUUCCCAACCGUAGUUCACAGUGGAUUCGGACGCAAGUCUCCCCGGGGGACAUUGGUCGGAAGACAAAUCCCGACUCCACAUCAAUGCUCUAGAACUCCUGGCUGGCUCCUUCACAAUCCAGAGUUUUGUGAACUGGACUGCCAGCGCAUGCAUCCAGCUGCGCAUGGACAAUGUCUCAGCGGUCAGGUAUGCCAACCACAUGGGCGGCACGCAGUCGGCGGCGAAGGACUUUUGGUCUUAUUGGUUGUCAAGGCAGAAUACCUCCCGGGACUCCACAACAUUCAUGCAGACUGGAGUUCACGCUAUCUGUUGGACAGCAGCGAUUGGAGAUUGGAUGUAGGGGCGGUCUCCGCUAUCUCGUCCCUCUGGGGUCCCUUUGCCAUUGACCUCUUGGCUUCCCAACUCAAUAUCCAAUUGCCACAGUUCUACAGCUGGCGCCCGGAUCUGGCCGUGGUUGCAGUGGACGCCUUCCUGCAAGACUGGACCGGCUUGCUCCCUUAUGCCUUCCCUCCGUUUGCCAUGACCCCUCAGGUCCUGCUCCAAGUUCGUCACCAAAUGGCCUACCUGAUUCUGCUGAUACCGCUCUGGGGGACUCAGUCAUGGUUCUCACAGCUCCUGGAGCUGGCAGUGGAUGUGCCCAGACUGCUGCCAUCCUACCCGGACCUCCUUCUGGACCCAUCAGGCCGACAUCACCCUCUCCUGCUGGAUGGGUCAUUGUCGCUUCUCUUUUGGAGGAUUUCCACGGUUCUUGGGAAGUCCAAGGGGUUUCGGACACAACUCGACGCAUUGGCUCCCGGGACUAGAUGAUCAUAUGGGACAGCUUGGAGAGCUUGGGCUGGCUGGUGCCUGGCUCGGAACAUGGAUCCUGUUUUGGCACCUGUAACUGCGAUCCUCCAAUUCCUCACUUCGUUAUUCGAGGCUGGUCGGGUCUAUCGCACGAUUAACUUGUACAGAUUGGCCAUUUUCUCCGCCCAUCAGGGUUUUGACGGCUGUCCCGCAGGCCAGCAUUCUUUGGUGUGCCGCUUGCUUCGGGGUUCGCGACUGUCACGCCCUCCUAGGCCUCGAUACUUGGCUACUUGGGACAUCUCCUGCGUUUUGUCACUCUUUACUUCCUGGCCCCCUAACUCGGACCUCUUCUUACGACAGUUGUCCGCAAAAUUGGUCACCCUUUUUUGCCUCAUUUCAUGCAAACGGGUUUCGGAUGUUCGUGCCUUGGAUUACAACGCUAGGUUUUUCACUCCGGACGGGGUGACAUUUAACAUCUCCAGAUGCACUAAGACGUAUAUUUGGUCGGCUUCAUAUCCGUGUUUUCCAGUUACCCUGGCAUUGUGUCCAAUGACCUGUUUGCAGAAAUAUGAACUUUGGACGAGUGCACAUCGUUUGGUUUCGUCCCCUCAGCUUUUCCUCUUGGUUUGUCAACCUUUUUCCUGCGUCCAGUGCUACCUUGGCUCGCUGGGUGAAAUGGGUGAUGUCGCUGGCUGGUGUGGAUACAUCCAUCUUUAGCGCCCAUUCCUCCCAGGGGGCUUCAGCCACGUCUAUGGUGGUUUCAGGGGCGCAUCUGGAAGACCUUAUGAGGAUGGCGGACUGGUCCUGCAAAUCCAUUUUUCCCCAAAUUUUACUUUAGACCAGCCUCUCGCCCUAUUUCUUCUGUUAUUGAUCAGCUUUAAACUUGCAAUAUGAGCCUCCAUGUUUUCACAUAAAUUUACACGAUUUUGCUAUUUCAUGAUGAAAAGUCUUGAUUUUAUAAAAGACAAUGAGGCGAGUAUUGUCCCACCCUUCUAUUUUUAUUUCACUUCAUUCUCCCUCCCUGUUGAUUUGCUCUCUCAUGUGGUUUUCCAAGGGGUGGUAGGUAUUUGUGAUGCGCUCUGUGUUUAUUUUACCAAUUAUGCUUAUAUGACCUGCCUAUGCUGUAUGUUUUGUCUGGUGGGUUUGUCUUGCGAUAUGGGCACUGUGUUGAUUUAGUUUAUCAAUAUGUUAUGUCUUGGCAUGCGCACUUUGGUUCAAGUACUGAUUUAACUGUUGGGCUUCUGUUUUUAUGUUUUCACAGGUUGAUUCUGUACUGUUUGGGGGUCCUCGCUAUUUCCCACAAGGCUUCAACCCAUUGGCUGGAAGUCUAUCGAUUGUUCUGUGAUGGGCUCCUCACUGUUGGCGAUUCUAUUCUUUGAUGGAUUGGUACCAGUUCAUUUUUGGUUCCUGAUUGGAGUCCGGCUGGAUUUCGGGACGCUUGUUCUGCUGUGGUUGGACUGAUUCAUUGGUUCCUGUUUUGUUGUUAUUUGUGUUGCAUCUCCAAAGAAAGAGGAAAUAUGUGGGGAGGUGCUGACUAUUAUACUGAGACUUGAUAUGGGAGUGGCUUAUCUCUUUGUUACCAUUUUUUCUUACUGUUUGUAUGCUAUUGGUGGACAGUAAAGAAAGGGUUAAGCCUCUGUGUCUUUCGUAAAAUUAUGACUUUUCAUCAUGAAAUAACAAAAUCAUGUAAUUUCCUAUGCUAUACCAUGAGAUGUAAUAUAGCUCAUGGAUGUCAGGACAGGAAGGGGUGCUGUCCUGAGACAGCAAUAUCCCUUUAAAUGUGGGAACCCAAUUUGCAGAGAAUAAAUGACAAGACACAAUGAAUGAGAGUAAAUAAUAAGUAUAUAUAUUAUGAAAACAAAAAGAAAAAGAAAUAUCAAAGUAUAUACAAAUAUAUAAUGCCAAAAACAAGUAUAUACAAUAAUUUAGGAUUAGCACGAAUGGUGUAGGCAGAGCAUAAGGAACAGUCUUUUGGUAUAUGAAAUACUCUUGGGCAGGACCGGGCAGCCACCACGAACAACAGACAGUACAUAGGUCCAAAGCCAGUGUCAUAAGGAAGCAAGGCCCGAACCAGGAUACACAAUCAAAGGAAGCAGGGUCAGGGUCACUGGAUGCUAAACCAGAGGACAGGAACACAGAACCAGAGAACACAGGAACACAGGACCAGAUGACACGGGAACACAGGACCAGAGGACGCUGGAACACAAGACCAAGUAACGCAGGAUACAGGACCAAAGAGUGCAUGGUCAGAAUCACAGGAACCAGGAAAGAAUGAUCUGAACAAGAGGGGAGGGUGAAACCAAACUAAAGGUGCUAAACAAGGACCAGCUGAAGUGCUAAAUGAAAAGAAAUGAGGAAUAGUGCCAAACCGUGAGAGUGGUGAGUAUAGGUACUGCACGAAGGCAUAUCUACUAAGGAGUGAACCGUGACAAUGGAUAAUUGGGAAAGCAAGCACACUCUAGGUAGAGCCUCUGCUGUUUAGAAGUGAAAGAAAACCUCCAUGGAUGUCUAAUUGACAGAUCGGUAUUUACAACUUUAGAGUGUUCUUGUUCCAUUUUAGAUUGUUGGGCCUCCCUAAAUUAGAUGAAUAAUGAUACUAACACACUCCCCUCCACUUUCCAAAAAUGAACACCCAUUUCUUGUGUGAGAACUUGUGGAAUAUCAGAAUUACUUCUCUUAUUGGCUGUACAGCAAAAAAAAAAUGAUUUUAAAAUAAUGUUACAGUUGGCCAAAAUGAAAUUUAACACAACUUAAAGCCCAAAUUCCAUUACGUUAGUGAGGUUAUAAUGAUGUGGCUGACCAUGAAGCACUAUCCAAAGGUCAGCCAUACUACAUAGGUUUGUGAAAAUACAGUCUUUGUGUUUGCAAAAAUCAGUCAACCAAAUGACACACAGUUGCAGGCCCGGACUGGCCAUCGGGCAUACCGGGCAAAUGCCCGGUGGGCCGCGAUGGCCGUGGGGCCGAGGCCGGCAGGGGAUCUCCCCGGCCGGCCCCUGCAGGGCCAGCGCUAUCCGAGCGCCGGCCCUGCUAUGUGCCUCCGUGGGCCGGUGGGGAGAUCAAAGAUCUCCCUCACCGGCCCACAGACAGUGAGAUGCGGCCGCGCCGGAUGGUGAGGGAGGGAGGGAGGACCCGGCGGAGCUCCAACAAGCAGCUCCGCCGGUCCUCUCGCGGGAUUCUGAGCGUUGCCGCGGCAACGCUCAGAUCUCGCGAGAGUGAACUCUAACCCGCAGGUUAAAGUUCACUCUCACCACUGGACCACCAGGGAAGGCAGCAUGGCUCCCAACCCCCCAGGGAGAACUGAUCUUCUCCCUCCCCCCCCUCCCAGGAUAAAGGUAAGAAGGGAGGGGGGGGGAUAUAAUUUUUUUUUUUUUUUUAUUAGUAAAAAAAAUAUUUAAAUUUAAAUAAAAAAAUACAUUCACACACACAGCACCCAUACACACACCCAGCACACCCCCAGACACACACAGCACCCAGACACAGCACCCCAGACACACACAGCACCCAGACACAGCACCCCCAGACACACACAGCACCCCCAGACACAGCACCCCCCAGACACAGCACCCCCAGACACAGCACCCCCAGACACACACACUGCAGACACACACAGCGCAGACACAGCACCCAGACAGCACCCCCAGACACACACUGCACCCAGACACACACAGCACCCAGACACAGCACCCCAGACACACACACAGCACCCAGACACAGCACCCCCAGACACACACACAGCACCCCAGACACACACAGCACCCCCAGACACACACUGCACCCAGACACAGCACCCCCAGACACACACACAGCAUCCAGACACAGCACCCCCAGACACACACAGCACCCCCAGACACACACAGAGCACCCAGACACACACAGCGCACCCAGACACACACACAGCACCCAGACACACACAGCACCCCCAGACAUACACACAGCACCCAGACACACACAGCGCACCCAGACACACACAGCGCACCCAGACAGAACCCAGACACUCACAGCACCCAGACAGACACAGCGCCCCCGAGACAGACACAGCACCCCCCAAACACACAGCACCCAGACACACACAGCACCCUCACUCACACACAGCACACACAUAUAUAUAUAUAUAAAAUAACCCUCAGUGAGUUAACAGACAAAGAAAAUUAGAAACCUAGAAUGUGACAGCAGAUAAAAACACCCUCACACACAGCACCCCUCUUACAUACACACACUGCGCCCCUCACACAUACAAUAAGUCAAAAUAUAUAUAUAUAUAUAUAUAUAUAUAUAUAUAUACAUACAUACACACACACACACACACACACUACAGCACCCCUCACCCUGCACCACUACACACGCUCCAGAUACACAUUAGAUCCCUUACCCUAUAUGCACUCUUAAUCCUCUACACACACACACUGGGUCCUUUACACAGUAGAUCUCCUACACACACACACUACAUUCCUUGUCAGCAAACACAUACAACAUUCUCUAAACACACCCUCUCUGCAACCCCUACACACACUACGUCACCUAUACACACACACUUCAGCCCGUAUGCACACACUCGCUGCAUCCCCUAUAAAACUAUGCCCCCUAUACACACACUCUCUACAGCCCCUAGCCACACAUAUUACACCACAAACACAAAUUAAAUUGACCUAUUUAUACCAUACCACACCACUCUCUACACACAUGCAAUCCCACAAGCAGGCUCCAAACAUAUGCACCAUGCACUUUCCUGGCCCUUUUGUCCUCUGGUAUCUCACUUGUGGAAACACCAGAGACAAUUUAAAAGCAAACACAGCACAAGCAUGUUAUUAAAUUUGCUUGCGCUGCGCAGAACAAAUUCAGGGUCUUUUUCUAAUGCCAGAGCUCUUCAGCAGGGCUCUGGGCAUUGAACCAGCAUGCUCACUUUGAGAGGGGGCGUGUUGUCAUUAGUGAUGACAAAACACACACUCUCUGGCCCCGCCCCUUUCUUAGGGGGCCGCUCUGAUUGAAAAAUGCCCGGGCCUAAUUUUUUUCCCAGUCCGGCCCUGCACAGUUGUGAAGACUCUGCAAUGUCCCUCAUACAUAGCCACAGCUCACAUGACAGGGAUACAUCAUAUUAAAAAAAACACACCAACGAGACUACACCCUCGAGAGCCUUUUAUGUCUGCACUGCUAUGCUAAUGUGUCACUAGUGAUAUAAUUGGACAUUAAAAGGCAAUAUUUGUACUCUCUUUAUCAAGCCGCUAGGGGUGCCAAACAUAAAUACAGCUGCAUAAAUAUCCAGCAUACAGAAAUAUAUAAAACAAUCUACUGCAUAAGAGUAUGCGUGAAAAAAAAAAAUAGAAACCAUUAGCUACAUACAUAUACAUACAGAUGCUGUGCUAAUAUGCAGGUUGAAAUAGAGAUAUAGAUUUAUAUACAUAAAAGUUAAAUAUAUUUUUUUUCUUUCAGAUGCCAAGGAAUUCCCGAUAUUCACACUGCUACCUGCUUUGAUUCAUCAUAAAUCUUUUGCUCUUUUGUUCAAUGUUUCCAUCAACUAUGAAUUCAUCAAAUAAAUAUCAAUCACAAGCAAAUUCAAAAUGUGUUUUGAAAAUUUGUAGGUGGCUGCCUGUUAAUAACUCUUUCACUGUUAUUCUUUAACUGUGUUUCUUUGUUUAUUUGUUGUUGUU
Pelobates cultripes (western spadefoot toad) is the source of this 47388-nucleotide non-coding RNA. The record is from the annotation of a GenBank genome assembly. NCBI's taxonomy places the organism in Eukaryota, Metazoa, Chordata, Amphibia, Anura, Pelobatidae.